RNAcentral lists this long non-coding RNA (75574 nucleotides) under Sorghum bicolor (sorghum). Its description in RNAcentral is "long non-coding RNA (SBIC_LNC004051)". Lineage: Eukaryota; Viridiplantae; Streptophyta; Magnoliopsida; Poales; Poaceae. The record is from RNAcentral.
UCAUCCAUCUAGGUUGGUGAUUGAUUCCGCUGCGCAUCUGUAUAUGAGUUCGACAUAGGUGCUGGAACUCAAUUCAUAUCGUUUUUCAAGACGUUACCCCUCGCAAGGUAGUGGCGUUACCAGAUUUAGCGACUACCCACUAGCUGUCUGCAGCCUUUAGCCUAGGUGUCUGUUUGGGAUUAGAUGUUAGGAUGUUCUCGUGCUCUCGGUCUUUCACCCACUGACUAAAGUCGCUGGUGACCUUGUCUGCCUCUAGAUUGUGGCAUGUUUGCCAUCUGUUUCAGUUUCAUAUUUGGGUAUCUUUACUUGCCUUUUUUUUUAAUCUACUUAUGCUAAUUGUCUACAUGAUCAAACUCCUUCCGAACAGAGCAGAGGCUGUUUUGGUUGCUGCGAUAAGACUGUAAAACAACUGGGUGAACUGUCCAGAAACCUAAUCACCCAUGACCAAAUAACCAUUGGAGAGCCAUAUUGGAGCACAACCACCAUCGAGGUUGAACCAGCAGAUCUCAGGGGUGUUUCUCCAAUGAGUACAUCUAACUGGGCCUUUGAUCAGCAUGGAACUGGUAGCAGUCAUAACCUUCCUGGACUUGGUAAUAAUGGUAGGUCACUCUGAAUCAUGUUUUCAGUUCUGCUAAGCUAGGGCAUUUUCACUGGAUCGACAUAAUGCCUCCUUUACUACAAUCUUAACCUUGACUUUGUCCUAGUUUCUCUGAGCUGAGAAAAAAGAAUGUUGGGCUUAGUUUUCUGUGGUUUCAAUGGGAAAUUUAUUUUCAUCGCUUGAUAAAUUGUUCUUAAAAGUACCAUCGCUUGGCAUAAAUCUCAAUAUUCAUGUUGAGCUAUGUCAGGGUUUAACUAUUGCCAGUACCGAGAUCGAUGCAUUACUAUGCUACCAUGUCUUAAUUUUCUGUGGUUUUAAUCAGAAAUUUAUCGAAUAUUUGAAACCACAGUUUUGUUCUGUCAUCUUUCACAACAUAUGGUACAUUUUGCAACUAGAUUGGUAUAUAAGAAACUUUAGUAGGCAGAAGAAAAGGCAGUGCCCUGGUCGUGGGGAGGUUACUUGACCUCUCCAUCCACCCGAGUUUGACAGCUUCAACCAGCUAAGGUGCCAAUGUCCUUUGGUGAAUGCCAUAUCUUCUAAUCAUUUGUCUUUUCCUGAAAGAAUGGGUGAAGAAGUUUUGACUUUUGAUUAGGCAAACUAUUGCCUGAUUGUUAUUCUGAUGUUUGUGCUGGAUACCAUGUGAAAUUGGUGUACCUAUUGAGAACAACCUUAGUAUGGUUGUCUGAAGUUCAUUUUUUUUUUGCAGGACUCAUCCUGUGGGAACAGACUAGGCAGGAGUGGACUGAAAUUAGAAGUCUACGGCCGAAGGUGAAGCAGGUUCGCGAACCAGUAUUGAGGUAUGAGCGAAUGAAAUGAAGACCGCAACCCAAAAAAUUUACCCAUAUCACGUUUCUGUCAGACAAGUAUAUAUUCUAUGAAGUACAUUUUCUUUGACCAAAUGCACUUUGUCCCUUCUUCAUAUUGAAAGCAAAGGGUUAUGCUGGGAUCACCAGCUUUUCAUAUUAAACCUCAGAAUACCAUGCUUGCCUACCAUCAUUUUAGCUUUCAGUAACCAUUUUGUCUGCAUUCUUAUGGAAACAGAGCUAGUAUCCUUUUAUAAUCUAGUUUUAGACGCAUAUUUUUGUUCUCCUGAAGUUUGAAAUCAUUGCGAUAGACCUGUUUUUAUCCAGGUGAUAUUAGUUGUAUUGGUCUUGUUGGAGUUUCUACUGAUUCUUCCAAUUGUGCGCUGUUAGUAUAGUUUAUCACUUCAUUCAUGUUGCGCACUAUAUGUUGCUCAAGCCCAAUGUGUUCCUUUGUGCACUCCGAUUCCAUAAUACUUGUUCAUCAUCCUCACUAGCGUCAUUGGGACCAUUUUCUACACCUACUUUAAUUGUAGGGAAGUGAUUAAGCGAUUGUAAAAUAAUAUUUGAUAAGGUUAUAUUGAGCUUGGACAUACAUACCGUUAAAUGGUUAUUUCUUAUGUGACUUGUAAGUUCUACAGCAUAUUAUCUAGGAAACUUUCAUAAGCAACAAAUAGAGUACCUUUGAAUCAAAUUUGAUGGCAGCUGCUCCUUUUACAAGAAAGAUGCAGAGAACCAGCUAUGAUGUUAGUUUUUUUUUAAGAAGAGCUAUGAUGUUAGUUGAAUCAGAAAGUGGAUAGUCAGUCUUAUUUGUGUGCAAUUUGUUUUCUCUCAAAUAGGUACUAGGUUUUUAUUCCAUUCCCCAUAAUAUGCUGAAGCCAAUAAUGUCUUAUUUUGCUUCUGAUGAUGUAUUUCGUUUGUGCCACCUCAAGAAGCUUUAAGGAAUGCUAUCUUUAUUGAUUGUGGAGGUUUGUGUAAUUGUGCUAAAAAAUCUAUAUUUAUAUAUGCAGUUGGAAUGCAGCAUAUGAGAGUCUGCUUGGAUCAAAUAAGCCAUUUCCUCAACCCAUUCCUCUUCAUGUAAGAUCUAACACAUUUCAGUCUAGCAUUUCUUGCAAGGCAUGCACUCUUAAACAUGGGUCAUGACAUUGCAGGAGAUGGUCGAUUUCCUUGUGGACAUCUGGGAGCAGGAGGGGCUGUAUGACUAGCGCAAAUGAUUUCAUGGGAUAACAUAUCUGGGAUAACACAUAGUUGUUCCUCAAGAGAGGGGAAAAAAGAAUGACAUAGGGUGUGUAGGCUUGAGAUGAGGUGGCCUGUCAUACUUGUUUUUGUCAAUGGAGGCCUGUUGUACUUGCAGAAUACCGAGCUUGUAAUGCUAGAGAAGUCCUGAUACUGAUAGUGGCUUUGUUGAAUUUGUCAAAGAAAGUUGUGAGAGGUUGAGUUGUGACAAAAAGUGCGAUUUGUAUUUGAUUAAGAAGGCUUUAACAGUUAACACGAUGGCAGUUGCGUGUUGGUUCGAGAUGGUUGGAUUAUUCUAAGGAGCGAGGAGUCAUGUAAGUGUCCAGUUCGUGGUGAAUGCAACCUUUGACUGAUCCAGUUCCGGACUGUUAAAAUUCGUUCGUUCUGUAAUGUGAAGUGGCUGUGACUUGUCAUUUUGAUGAAUGAUCUCUCUUGCCAUAAGGAAAAAAAAUGGUUAAUGUGUGCACAACCUUUGAAUAUUGUGAGCACAAUACCCUACUCUGUCGCGAUUGAGAGGCUCCAACGAAACAGGACUAGAUCAGCAUCUACUCUCCUCAAAUCGAACUCCUCAAUUCCUUGGCUUGUUCAUUUGAAAUUAUCUAUUAAAUCUAUCAAUCAUUUAACAAUGUUUUUUUAUAAUAAAUCAGCAAAUAAUAUUUUUAGCCAUGACUUCUCGUACCAAAGGAUUGAGCAGCAGACUCAUUCAUCGAAUCAACUACGGUGAGUGAAUGCCAGGUCUGGCAGCGUGUCCACGUAGACAGCGUGCGCCCGACCCCAAAGCCAAAGGCCAAACUGCCAAAGCGUUGGGGUAUGCCAAGAAAAGGAAAGGCCGAAAGGGGCACGGCGAGAAGUAGUCUGGGCCGAAACCAGCAAAAGGGCCAUCGGCGUUGGGCCCCCGGCAACGACGCGCGGGCGCGGCCCUCUGCGUUCGGCCGGUCCCACCACCAGCUGUAGCCCCCCACUGGCCACCCACCCCCCCCGCCCCACUGCGCAUUCUCACACACACACACAACACUGUGCGACUUGUCCUCGGCGCCUCCGCUCCCCUUUUCCCCUUUUUAUUCGUCGACGCAUACUUGACCCGGCUGUAGCUGUACCGGAGAUAGAGCGAGGGUUCGGUGACGAGAAAACCCCAAUCGCCUCCGCCCCCCCUCCUCUACUCCGGCCGCAGCCGCCGACGUCGCCACGCGCAUUCCGCCGCGCCAAUCGGUAGGGUUCGCCCGCUUCCCCCCCUCAGCGACUCGAUCCCGCUCCCUCCUCGCGCGCGCAUUGCAUCUCGUCCCGCUUGUGUCGUUUUUGAUCUGAUUGAUCCGUGGUGGGUGGGCUGCGUGUGUGGCAGGGUACACGAGAAGGGUUGCGGAUGGAGUCGUCGGCGUCCGCGCCGGCGUCCAAGGGCCCGCGCUACGCGCCGCCGGAUCCGACGCUCCCGAAACCGUGGAGGGGGCUCAUCGACGGCAACACGGGGUACCUCUACUUCUGGAACCCGGAGACCAAGGUUACGCAGUACGAGCGCCCCGUCGCGGCCGUGCCUUCCUCCCCGUCGCAGCCGCCUGGCUACUCCAGGCACGAUGAGAAGCCGAGAAGCAGCGCACCUUCCGAGGUAACAACGCGUAUUCCGAAAAUGUGGCUUUGUGCGAGGUUGAGGUCUGCGAGAUGGUCUUUUUUUUCCUUCUAGAGAACAAAUGUUUGCUACAUUCUCAUAGUAGUCUGUAUUUGGUGCUUCAGCAGCGCUCGGAAGCUGCGGUGAGCCGCCAGCAGUAUGUGCCUCCCUCCGAUAACAGGGCAAGGAAUGAUCACUCGGAGGUGACCUGUUUUUCUCUCGUUACUUCACUAUAUCGAUCGCGUGCUACAUGUCAUCAUUUGCCCUGCAUUCGAUUGCACGGUGUGAUUUAGGUCAAGGUUGCCAGUAGAAGUAUAGUUGGAGGCUAGGAUAUACUCUGCCUGCUGGUCGAUUUCAGAGGUGGAAAUACCUACUUGGUCGAGUUCAGUUGAUAGUGAUGACCUUUCUUGGCUAACGAACUAUUUGUCAAGAGAGAUACUUUUCUUUAGCAACCUGCUUAAGCUGCAUGCACAAUGUAUCUAGUUACAUGUACAUGCAAUGCAUGGUAUUGUUAUUCAUUGGACAUUGCUGUUUCAAAAUAUCAAGGAAGAUACGAUAGUACUGUAGUAGUAAUAGUGCAUCAAAGAGUCAACAUAUGAUCAUAAGAGAGCAAAUCAUAAGCGAUUUACUUUUCUUUGUCCACUCAUAGCAUGCUACCUUGUUUCAGCCACGCUCUGCAUCUGGAGUGAACCUUUCACAAAGUGCUCCAUCCACUAAUCAGGUUUCUCAGGCUGCCAAUGGAAGCCAAAUGUCGACAGAAGCAUAUCGUGCUAAGCAUGAGAUUACCAUUGUUGUAUGUGAUCAACUAAUCCAUUCCUUUUUUUCUGUUUACUCCCUCCAUCCCAAAUUAUAAGAUGUUUUGGCUUUUCUAGAUACCUAGCAUUUGCUAUGCAUUUAGAUAUACACUAUGUCUGGAUACACAGUUAAAGCAGUGUAUCUAGAAAAGCCAAAAUGUCUUAUAAUUUGGAAUAGAGGGAGUACCAUCAAUCACUCUUGUUUUUAUUUAGAUGUUACUUAGAUUUUCCAUUCAUUUUCUUUUAUUAACAGGGCAAUGAGGCACCUGCGCCAUUCAUGACAUUUCAGUCCACAGGCUUCCCAUCAGAGAUUCUAAGGGAGGUAGGUCUACACAAUGUGUAGCAAUAUUAAUGUGCUUUUUUGGAUUCCUUUCUGAUGGGACCAGGUGGCCAUUGUGCAUCCAUUGUAUGUACGCAUGAUUAAACCAAGUUUUCUUUGCAGCAGGCUCUUCAAGUCAACAAUCCAAGUCGUGGUUCGACCUGUUUGUUGUCUUGUGCAGCCUCCUGUGGUUUGAAACAGCUCACUAUUUUGUUCAGUCUCCAACUGCAUGAUGUUUGGCUUGGCUUCUGUGUAACUAAAAAUUGCACAUCACGAGAAGCCUUUUCUCUUUGCUAUAGACUAUAUUAUGAUUUUUAUCCUUACACAGAUAUGGUAUUUAGAUAACACUCAUCUCUGAAGGGUAUCAACCUUUUGCAGGUUCUGCAAGCAGGUUUCUCAGCACCAACUCCUAUCCAAGCUCAGUCAUGGCCAAUUGCUAUAAAGGGUCGUGAUAUAGUAGCUGUGGCGAAGACAGGUUCAGGAAAAACAUUGGGCUAUCUCCUCCCAGGGUUUAUUCUUCUGAAGCGCCUGCAGCAUAAUUCAAGGGAAGGUCCAACAGUAUUAGUUCUGUCUCCAACCAGGGAAUUGGCAACACAAAUUCAAGACGAAGCAAUCAAGUUCGGAAGAUCUUCAAGAAUAUCUUCUACUGUAUGUUGCUUUAUAUUUUCUUAUAUCUGUUAUUAUCAUUACUAAUGCUUUUCUCUGCUUAGGUCUAGAACAUGUGUUGUAUUUUUAAAUGAAUUAACUAAGUUAGCGCCUCUAACCAUAUUGGUUAAUUCUAAUGAAUUCAUAUGCGAGCAUAUGAAAGCUCCAUUUAUGUUUAAUAUAUGUUGUAUAAGAGAUGUUAAUCUAAUUUUUAUUGUUUGAAGUGCUUAUAUGGAGGUGCUCCAAAAGGCCCUCAGCUAAGAGAGUUGGAGCGUGGUGCCGACGUUGUUGUCGCAACUCCUGGGAGAUUGAAUGACAUUUUGGAAAUGAAUAAAGUGAGCCUGCGCCAAGUGUCUUAUCUUGUCCUUGAUGAAGCUGACCGUAUGCUUGAUAUGGGAUUUGAGCCACAAAUAAGAAAAAUUGUGAAACAAAUACCACCUAGACGGCAAACUCUUAUGUACACUGCCACAUGGCCAAAAGAGGUUAGAAGAAUAGCGUCGGAUUUACUGAAUAACCCAGUUCAAGUUAACAUUGGAAACACUGAUCAGCUGGUUGCAAAUAAGUCAAUUACUCAGGUGAGUCAAAAUGUUGUUUUCUUUUUUUUUCAAACCAGAUACUUUGUUUCUGUACUUUGAGGUGGUUUGUUGCACACUGCAGCAUGUGGAAGUCAUCCCACAUAUGGAGAAAUCAAGACGACUUGAUCAAAUCUUGCGGUCACAAGAUCCUGGAUCAAAAAUCAUAAUAUUUUGCUCCACUAAGAGGAUGUGUGAUCAGUUGGCUAGAAACCUAUCACGGCAGUAUGGUGCUUCUGCUAUUCAUGGUGAUAAAUCACAGUCUGAGAGGGAUUCUGUGUUGAAUGACUUUCGAAGCGGCAGGUGUCCAGUACUUGUAGCCACUGAUGUGGCCGCUCGAGGCUUGGACAUAAAGGACAUCAGGUAGGGCUGUGUCUUCGUUGCUUCUCAAUUUUUGAGAGCUUUACCUUCUAAUCAUUUGAGCAACUGUGCCAUAGUCAUUGUAACGCUGAUAAUAAAAUGGUGAAUACACACAUUUUGUAUUCGACAUAAAUUUUUGAAUGUAACCCACUGACAAUCCUUCCAAAAUCUCCUCACAGGGUCGUGGUUAAUUAUGAUUUCCCAACUGGUGUGGAGGACUACGUCCAUAGAAUUGGGAGGACUGGUAGGGCUGGUGCGACAGGUUCUGCCUACACAUUCUUCGGUGACCAGGAUUCGAAGUACGCUUCAGAUCUUGUCAAGAUUUUGGAGGGUGCAAACCAAUCUGUGCCACAACAAUUAAAAGAAAUGGCUCUUCGUGGAGGAUAUGGUGGAAGAUCACGUCGGUGGGCAUCUUCUGAUGACUCUUAUGGUGGUCAAGGAUAUGGUGCUAAAAGAUCAACUGAUAGCUUCAAUAACAGCAGCUUCGGCAACCAGGCUGGGGGUGGUUCAAGCUUUCACUCGAGGUGUGUAUCAGUUGCAGUUUGAAUGCUUCCUUUUAGCCAUGCACAACCCUAACGAGUCAUGAAUUAGCAGCUUCCAUAACAGCUCCAGUGGCAAUCAGUUUGGUGAUACUACGAGCUUUCAUGGCAGGUAUGGUGAAAAUUUCUAUUAUACAUACAUUGUCUUUGGCCCAUCUAUACAUUAUAAUGAACCAUCACAUUACAGCUAUGAUAACAGCAGCCGCAACAAUCAGACAGGUGACAAUGCGAGCUUUCCACCCAGGUGUGUAUAAUUUUUCCUAUUCAGAUGAUUAUUUAGCUGAUGUUUCCCUGUUACAUGAUUAAUUGCUAUCUUUGAUACAGCUCCAGCAACAAUCAGUCUGGGGAUGGUCUCAGUUUUCAUGAAAGGUACUUUAUUAGUCUUUGAGCCAAUAUUUUUACCAUAUUUGGAAUUAUGCAGUGUCAUUUGAAAUUGUGAAGUUUAUAUAAUCUCUGAACUUGUGCUGUCAUUUGGUGCUGUCCGUCUUGUUGAAGCACUGAUCUAAUGGAACUUUUUAGCAUGAAAACAUAAUUAAAUUGGUGCAUCUUUUGUCCUAUUCCGUUUAUCUUCAACAACUAUUAUCACUUUUUGUUUCUUAAGUUUAUUGAAGGAGAAUAUAUAAUUGGUGGAAUAUUGGAUAUAUUGCAUUGGACCUCAUGGGUUGAUUAUAUAGGGUACAUAGGACUAACACCUCACAUGUACACAAUGUGGUACUAUUCCUAUUUACUCUAACUCCUCCCUGCAGUCACAGCGGGAGCACUGCAGAGUCUGGAGAAAUUGACAAAGCUAACAUCCCCUCGUAGUCAUAAUAGUUGAUGCACCCGGUAGCUGUGGCUAGAGAAGAAGCCGAUGAGUCUUCAUGCUAGGCGGUAGCCCUUUGUGCCGUUGUUGAGGUAGCCGAGCGUGAGGGCACAAUAGCUGUGGUCGAAGAAGCUAUGCUGAAGAUGGCCGAGGUUGACGUAGUUGUGGUUGGGUUGCCAUGUCGAUGGAGCUAGGUGCACAAGGGGCACCAUGGUGAUGACGGAGACGCAUCGAAGCAGUCAUCGUGGGAGGGGGAGAUGUCGAAGUUGACGUAGCCAGGGCCAUCGUAGACGAGAAGAAAGGCGACGAUGGAAUUGAGGUAGACGAGGGUCGAUGCCGAAGUCGAUGCAGUCAAAGCCGCCUGAGCACCGAGGCGUAGCUAGAUUUGCCAGAUCCAACAACACGUUAGGGACGAAAGCAUGCAUCGGUGUUGCCAAUACGGGUGUACAAGGGAGAGGGCCCCAACCGUGUGGUUGUGCUGGACGAAGAAGAAGCAAUGUGGGAGAAGACGCGUCGGCGAGCAGGUCUCAGCGACGAUGCGUGUAGCAGCAGCUUGAUGACAAAGAGUCAAAGACCCAAUCAACUGGACGAAGACCUUGUCAGACGGAUGGCGCAACAGGGAUUGCGUAGCACAGUGGUAGAUGCACAAUGAUGGCGAUGUAGAUGCGGACACACGGGCGACGGUGCUGCAGCCCGAUAAGGUGACACAGGAACAACCUUGUUGCUCAGCGCAUAAUACUCGGAGACAAUGUCGAUGAAGUCGAUGCCAAUGCCAGCAUGCGAGGCCGACGGCCAGUGGGCGACUCAAUCUCGAUUAGUGAUUGGGCAAACCAAAAAGAUACAACAACAAGAGAUCGGGUGUACCCAGCGAGACGACAUGGCGGCAGCGGUGUGACCCGAUUGGUCAGUGCAAGGCGCACGGCGGGUCACAGACGUGUAGGGUCGAAGGUGACGACGGGGAUCGACGUGGUCGAGAUGGGCACAUUCGCCUGACAACAACGACACGUCGGAUCUGUCUGCCUCCAUGGCAACGCAAGGUCAGGGCGUGUGGCUGGGCUUGACUGUCAUCCCGACGGCAUGGGAUGGGGCGAGAUCCAUCUGUCCAUGCGACGAAGAUCAGGUGUUGAUGGCGACAGCGACAGUCCGACAACGACGUAGGGGAGAUCCCGAUCUGCUGCGCGACAACGACGAUGGCAGCCGGAUCAAUAGGAUCAGACGCCUAAUCAGGACGCUGCCCCCAGCAGAGAUCAACCUUCCCCUGGGGGCACGUGGUGUGGAAGCUGCGGCGGCUAGGGUUAGAAUCUAAAUCAAGGCGAAUGAUACCAUGAAGGAGAAUAUAUAAUUGGUGGAAUAUUGGAUAUAUCGCAUUGGGCCUCAUGGGCUUGAUUGUAUAGGGUACAUGGGACUAACAUCUCACGUGUGUACAUAAUGUGGUACUAUUCCUAUUUAUUAUUCCUAUUUAUAUAAUGUGACAGCAUCCAUGAAGAAGAAUCUCAUCUGUCUGUAUCCUCCGUUCAAUUGGCAGGUUCUAUGGAUCACGUGGAAGGGACCAGAGCAAAACAAGCAAUGAUGGAUUCCGUGCAAGGAGCAGAAGUCCUCCUGGCAAGCCCGUGGGAGUUUCCAACUGGUGAUUGCAUCCACUAGGUGCAAUCCAAUUUUCGCGAUGGUGACGAAACCAAGUAGAACUGUAGAAGAUGGUACCCUAACAAGUUAUAUUAUUUCCUUUUCUUAUCCUGCUUAAAUCCAAGAAUUUCCUGGAACAUCACUAACUUAGGAUAUGGGUGAUGGUCUGAUCCCUAAUGGUCACCUGCUAUUUUGAUUUGACGCCUGGGAGUCGCCUGAUUCCGUACCAUAUGCCUGUGGUCGUAGGUUGUAAAGCGUUAAAACUUGACUUUGCUAAGUAUACCUAAUGCUAUGACCCAACCCUGGGUAAACAAGCGCAUUGGGAUGAAUUUUGGACAAAACCAUGGACAACUGAUAUUUUAAUGUUAUGUACAAUCUAUGUCGAAGACUGUUUGUAAAUGCUGCCCGCAUGGUUUUAUAUUGAAUUGAGCGCACGUUAUUACAUGUGUUGAAGGAUCAUCCUACACGUAUGUGACUCUGCUCAUGCGAGUUUUGUAGCCGCUACAGAGGCUGCUCGGUUUGGACCUCGGAAUCUCAACAAGUUGCACUUGUAUAUGUAUCAUACUGCUUCUGCCCAUGCGUCAGCGUCUUGCUGAUUUGUGUCGCGUGGACUGCCACACAAUGACGUAGACAGCUGUUUGCCGUGGUUUGGACUAAUCCUAAUAAUCAUAUAAUAUGGCUAGAGAACACCACGUCCAUGUCUCGUGAAACUUGAGAAUAUAUUCGUUCAUGGUUCUUGUAACUCUGCAAAUAGCUGUUGCCUGUUCCCUGUGGUACAAGUGUACAACUGGGUAGAAACAAUGCUUGUUCGUAUCGUCAUUGAGAUUCUAAUCUUGAUCAAAUCUCUAUACCUCAAAAACCUGUAAUUUCUCAUGAACUACUGUAAUCUUUUUCAUCCCUGCUUAUGCAUCCUUUGGCUUCUUGGUUCUCGUCAACCUAGAGUAAAGGAAAACACCUGCUAAUGCAGCACCAGUUCCUGUAGGAAGAACAACAAAAAUCAGACAGCAGUGAGUUGGUUAGAAGUGAUUCUGCUGCAGCGGCAGUAAUGAAUUCUUUUGGGGGGAAUCGAUCAAAGUUACCUAGUGCAUUGACAGGCGAAAUAGGGGUGCUGAAGAACAGAACGGAGGAGACGAUCACAACCACACGCUUUACGCAGUUGGCGACGGAGUGUGUCACCGGUGACACUCGCGACAAGAUCAAGUACGAGAGCUGCAAUUGCAAGGGAAGACCAUGCGUCAAGCACAAGUUUUCUUCUUGGAGGCGAGAAAGAGGUAAAGAUCCCAUGGGGACGAAGACCUUUGGUUAUCUCCUCACCUUCUGAUAGCCAUGGAAGCACAGACCUGCGAGUGCUGCUCUCACGCAGAGCUCUUGGAGGUUCAGGCCCUACAUGAUGCCAAAACAAGAUUAUGGUAAGUUCGUUGUUUGUAGAGCGAUGACACAGCUGAUUAUUGAAGUAUAUAUCUUGUCUUGUCUGAUUUUUGAAACGCUUACCGUGCUCUGGAGGUAUCCUGGGGUGAACUUGAUGCCUUCGGCGAAGAACAUCAGAGGGCAAGACAGCAGAAACGACAGUACAGUGAUCACCGAGAAGAGAUUUAUGUCAUCCAUAACAUCCUGCAUCAGAUUGGACAAUUUUUACUGUUAUUACAGUUCACCGACCGUCGGUAUUAUUAAUCUGAGAUGAAGGAAAACUCACCUUGUCACCGGCAAGGAGUUUCUUGCUGAGGACGUUCCUCGAUUGGUUGGUCAGAUUGGACGCCAUGGCGCUCCAAAACCCGGUCCUGAUUCCCAGACAAAAUUACAGAGUCAACUGUCAAGAUUCCUCCAAUCAUUUGAGUCCCAACAGCAAAAAGGCCAAGAAUCGCUUGGUACUACAGUACGAUCCAAAGAUUUUCCAAUAGUAGGCAAUAGGUAGCGGGCACAGCACUGACCAGUUGAAAGAAACUUCGGUGAAUGAAGCCAAGGCGACGCCGCCAACGAUCGGCACGAGCGAGCCCAGCACCGGCAGGGAAGGGACCUGCAUACCAAACAUCGAAUGAGAACUGAUCACAGAUUCCAGUUUUCUUCUUGUUUCUUGUUGAUUCCAUUCCAUUCACGGCGGAAUCGGCGAGAAUUCGUUUUGCCUUUUCAGGAAUCAGGAGGUGCGAGUAGGACGGUGGCGAACCUCGCCGAGGAAGAGGGCGGAGAGGACGACGGUGAAGAAAGGCUCGGAGGCCUUGAUGGUGUGCGUGAAGGAGACGGCGACCUUGCCCAGGCUCAUGUUGGUGAACACCGUGCCCAGCAUGUGCCCCACGGCCAGCGGCGCGAUCUUGCCCAGCUGCAGCCGCAAAAGUUGUACUACGAAUCAGCAAACCACCAAGGGAAGGGGGGAAACGAGAUUGCAGCCGUCGCGGCGAGAAUGGCCUCACCUGCGCAGCGGAGAGCCUGGGCACCGGGUGGAGCCUGGUGGCCCACAUGAGGAAGAUGAGCAGGGAGCCGAACGCGAGCUGGAAGGCGGUGAUGGUGUACGGCAACGGCAACGGCAGCGCGCCGAGCACCUGCAAUGGGGGGACGGAGACGGGCCCGGUUGGUAUUGAUCGAUCAAGCGGGAAGAAGAGGGGGAGGGGAUCUUGAGAUCACUCUCGAGAUCGAUGCUGCGGUGAACGGGACGGACAGACAGACCUGCUUGUUGUAGAUGUUGAAGUAGAUGUUGAGCAGGUACCACGCGACGAUCAUGGCGCCCAGCUGCGCGGUGGCCGCAAUGCCGCCGCGGUCUCCCGUCACCGCGGCGGCACUAGCAUCGUCCGCCGGCACCGAUGCCGCCGCCGCCGCAGCCACCGCCUUGGCGACCUCCCCAUUCUUGCCACCGCUAUCGGACAGCAGCGACAGAGGCCUGAGCCGGCCGUCGCCGCCGCGGACGCGGAGGAGCGGCAACCGCUGGGCCGCGGCGGUGGCGCCGCGGGGCCCGAAGAAGGAGGAGGACGAGGAGGCGACGCCGACGUGGCGCGAGGCGAGGCCGCGCGUGGCGGCCCGAGUCCAAGAGGAGGCUCCGGAGACAGAGGUCGUCCCGGCGGCCGCCGCGCCCCGCUGCAUCAUCAUCUUUGCCGCGGCCUUGUCGCGAAACGGUCGCCGCCCCCGCCCGCGCUUAAAAUACCACUCGUGGUCCCGUCCCGUCCCGUCGCGUGCGCUACGGAAAACGAAAAAAAAAAGGUGAUGCCCCGGGUGAAUCUUCCCGUGAUCCCGUACUCGUUCGUCCCUGUACGACGACUACGAGUAGUGAGCCACUAGUGAGACGACGCGAGACCGCAGUGGCAGGUUGGCAGGGGCAGCGGCAGAGUCGCAGAGCACAAUUGGGACUUGGAUGCGUGGCGGCUUUCUUCGUCCGGCCUUCGCAGUUGGACAGUUGGUCGUGUCGAUGUCGGCGGCGGCUGCUUGACCCUGUUGGAUCGGCCACAUGUUCCAUUUUGCUCCGAUCCAGAAAGUGGCGUCACCGGUGAGGUGAGCUCGGGAAUACACGCUUGAUGUUGAUGCGCGGAGAUAAACGGUCGAGAUCAGGCACAUUAUAGUGCGUGGACGCCAUUUUCAUGCCUGCUGGCCGUCUCAAUGAUGCAACGUACUGCCACAAGUUCUUCAGCCAGAAUUUAGUAGGACGACUUAUACAGCAUAUUUAUUGUGCAAAGAAUAAUAGAGCGCGCACCCUUUUUCUGGCCUCAGGUAGUCAGGUUUGCAGCUACCAGCAUCGUCAGUCGUCAAUAAAAAGAAGUCGCUACAUGGGAAUAAAUAAGGUCCGUUAGGGGACAUCAUUUUCAUCAUUCCUCUAAAGAUAAAGAAGAUAGAAGUGGGGGGGGGGGGGGGGGGGGGGGGGGUUCUGAAAGAGAGGACGCAUCUCCAUGAUGAUAAGAAGGCGACGCGGGGUAACAGACGUGCAUCGCGCGAGCUGCCGGAGACAUUCAUGGAUGCCCUCUCGUGUGAUCAGAGGUCGCCUCGUCGGUAAUGUUGUGAUCUGGAAUGAACCCGGCGGCGCUUUCGCUGCGAUAGUGGGUGGAUCUCUUGCUUUCCGCGAACGGGGCCGGCGAUAAAGAGGACGAAGCCCCGGUGAGCCAUGGGAUGGGAAUAUAAAGAAUGCCAAAGCGAGCGCGGCGCGGGUGGAAUCGACCGAGAACGCUGUCGUGGCCGGUGCCCGUGCAGUGGAGGAUGACGCGCGCCCCUCAGACGGCGACCGCCCCGCCGAAGGGGACGACGACGACGACGACGACGGGCCCGAAGGCAGGCCUCGGAGCCCAAAGCAACUGGUCUCACGCUUCGAGCAGCAUGGAGGCCCAUGACUCAGACUAGUGGCCGUGGUGGUAAAGGCCCACAUGCCAUUUCGGCCCGCCUAACUAACCGGGGCGCACGCUUUCGGCAGUUGGGAACAACGAACGGGGUGGGUGGGUUGGGGUCAUCGCCGGCCGGUGGAGUUGCUCCUGGACUGACUGGAUCUGCCGCCCGGUGGUAGCGCGCCGCCGAGGAUGGCGCGGGCGGAGAAGAGGCGCGCCGCGAGCACGGAGGCGGCGGAGAUGCCAGCCAGGUCGGCGGAUCACCGGAGGGCGCUCUACUUCGCCGCGUUCCUGGUGCUCGCCGACGCUGCGCUCGUCGCCCUCAUCAUCGCCUUCGUCCCGUGUCUGUAGCUCCGAGCGCGUAGCCUCAUUAUUGCUCAGCUCUCCUCCUUGUGUCCGCGUUACCGCAGCUAAGCGGGUCUGUUGCUUCUACUUGCAGAUACCAAGAUCGACUGGGACGCCUACAUGUCUCAGGUACUAGCGCAGAUCGCCGAUUUUUGUUUUGUUUCACCUCUGUUUUGGUUCAAGAGCUUCGAAUUUGGGAUGGUGGUGUGAUCUUGGUGGCUGCUUCUGGGGUGUGUGUGUGUGUGUGUGUGUGUGUUUGCUGCUGCGCUAGGUGGACGUUUUUCUGGAGGGGGAGAGGGACUACACCAAGAUCGAGGGAGACACAGGGCCAUUGGUCUACCCGGCCGGCUUCCUCUACAUCUACUCCGCCAUUAAGUUCCUUACCGGAGGCCAUGUCUUCCCUGCUCAGGUAACCGCACAACCAAAUAUGCUUACCAGCAACAACUCGUUUGUUCUGACACUCUCAUUAUGGUCAGAAGAUGCCUGGCUGUGCUUAAGACUGAUGAGUUCUUGGGGUACUUGUCUGCAGAUUUUGUUCGGCGUAUUAUACAUUGUCAACUUGAGCCUCGUUCUUCUGCUUUACGUCAAGACCGAAGUGGUAUAGUUGUGCAAUUGAUCACUCUUUUCUAACCUCUGGUUCUGCUUUAGUUCAGGGAUUCACAUCUAAAACUGUCUUUUCCUUAACCUUUGUUUAGCUCAGCAAAGAUAAUUUUGACAAACUGAUUGAUAUAAUGUCAUGACGACUCAUCUAGAAACAAUCAGUGUUUAGUUUAUCUAUGGUAAUAUCUGUAGUGUUGGCUAUUCUUGUCUAAAACAAUCUUUUCUUCACUUCUGCAACACCGCAAGGAUAAUUCAGUAACUGGUAGUCUGGUAGGCUGUUAUGAUGACCCAAAGUUUCUUCAAUUAAGCCUGUAAAACAUCUGUGUGGCCAAGUUUCCAUGACAUUGUCUGUUGUUUCUGAUUCCUCCCUAUCUCUCAAUAACGAUGACAGCUUCCAUGGUGGGCUUUAGGUUUGCUUUGUUUGUCCAAGAGGGUUCACUCCAUAUUUGUUCUCCGCCUUUUCAAUGAUUGCUUCGCCAUGACAUUGCUUCACGCUGCUAUGGUACUGAUCAUAUAUCACAAGUGGUACCUUGGUCUAAUAGUUUUCAGGUGAGCAUGACAGUAUGGCAGUAUAUUGCAUUUAUCUUCUGCUUUGUUUUAAUAUGACCUUUGCUUUGUUUUAAACUGAAAGAGAUACGUAGAAAGUAGCUGCUCAUAUUCAUUUACCAUUUCUUUUUUCAGUGGAGCUGUCUCAGUUAAGAUGAAUGUCCUUCUUUUCGCUCCUUCUUUGCUUCUACUGAUGGUCAAGGUACACAUUUCAACAGCACCAUGCUUAUAUCUUUUUAUCCUUCGAACUGUUACCCUUACUAAGUUGUUUGUACAGGCCAUGAGCAUCAAAGGAGUCUUCUUUGCCUUGUUGGGAGCUGCUGUUGUACAGGUACAUUGUUUCUUUUUAUUAAUUAAAAACACUCAUCCUAUUCCACUAUUUUCAAUGUGUUAAAAUGGUCUUCUUGUACCACAUAUUAUAUCGGUUUGACUAUGCUUGGCAGUUUCUUCUAUUUCAAACUGAAUGCUGCAAGGUCUUUUGUAAUCCCUUUAUCCUUAAACUCCAUAGUGAUAUCUUCCAAGUUCCAAUAGCAUGCCACAGAGCUUAAAUUCACAACUUGUUGUAUCUUCUGUUAUUUUUUCUCUUUAACAUGCAGCAAAACUCUGCAGCGUUGUAUUGAAGAAAUUGUACCUUGUUUUAUGAUAUAAAUUUUCUGUUAAAUGCACAUAUCAUGGCCUGAGGUAAACGUGAGCUUGUCUAGUUUGUCUGGGGUUAGAUGUAGAUGGAUACAAGGUAUCACACAGUUUAUACUAAUGAUUUACAUUUCCCAUCUGUAGGUUUUGUUGGGUAUGCCAUUCUUGCUCUCACAUCCAGUUGAGUACAUCUCAAGAGCAUUCAAUCUUGGCCGUGUGUUUAUCCAUUUCUGGUGUGUAUUUCAUGAAUUUUGAACCACUUCAGCAGCAACAUCAUGACAUAUGUAUCACACCCUAGACGUGACUGUAAUUAUGCACAGUGUUAAUUGUUUUAUAUUUUUCAGGUCUGUGAACUUUAAAUUCGUCCCAGAGAAGGUGUUUAUAUCGAAAGAGCUUGCUAUUGCGUUGUUGAUUCUUCACCUCACCACCCUUCUGAUAUUUGCACACUACAAGUGGUUAAAGUGAGUACUCACCAAUCAUGUUAGGUGUAAUGAGUUAGAGGGUGUUUGGUUGGGGUGUUAAAGUUUAACAGGUACUGUAACAUUUUCGUUUUAUUUGGCAAUUAGUGUCCAAUCAUAGACUAACUAGGCUUAAAAAAAUCGUCUCGCAAAUUAUUCUCUAGUUGUGUUUUUAGUUUUGUAAAUAGUCUAUAUUUAAUAGUUCAUGCAUGUGUUCAAACAUUCGAUGUGAUAGGCGGUAAAGUUUACCGCCUCCAACCAAAUAGGGCCAAGCAAUGAUGUACAGUCAUUUCAAUAGUCCAAUCUUCACUCAAUGCUUUUCUUUCUCUAGUAUAUCCUAUUCCUAUUCUUUCUAAGAAUAUUUUCAUCAUUGCAUGUUUAUAAAUUAAAACUGUAUCCGUAUGUCUGAGGAGAUGCUAGGGUAUUUUAUAAUGGUUAUGCUAGCGCAUAAUAUUCUUCUACAUUCACUGACAGGCAUGAAGGAGGUCUAUUCGGUUUCUUGCAUUCCAGAUUUAAAGAUGCCAAAUCAAUCAAACAGCUUGUUUCCAGCCGGCCCAGAUCAUCCAUUCUCAGCAUAGAACGUGUGUUAAACCACAAUUCUCAAACUAAUCAUAUCAUUCCGAUCUAUGCUUUGCUGCUGAACUAACUAGAUAUGUACAACUUGAAUCCAGAUAUUGUAACUGUUAUGUUUAUUGGCAACUUCAUUGGCAUUGUGUAUGCCCGAUCAUUACACUACCAAUUCUAUUCCUGGUAAGCACAGGCUCUCCUCAGCAUCAUUAAUGUUAUGAUUAGUCCUCAAUAGAUUUGGCUUGUUGUUUGUGAUUGUUGUUUGUGAAUGCUAUAAUCCAAGUUUGCUCGUUCUUCUGUGCAGGUACUUCUAUUCCUUGCCUUUUCUAUUGUGGAAAACACGUUUUCAGACACCUUUGAGGUAACAUACUGUCCCUUAAUGUAUUUAUGUUACACACUUGCAGCUUGUGAACUAACCAAACAUGAUUUAUGUUGAUAGAAGUGUCUACUUCCUUUUUUAUUAACAUUAAGUGCAUUCUUCUUCCCCUUUUUCUGAAACUAAGAUGAUGUCUCUAAACAGCGCACUGGUUCAAGUAUUCAUUUAUUUGGUUUGCAAUCUUAUUGCACUUCCCCUCAAUUUCAGGAUCAUUCUAUUUCUCGCUGUGGAGUUCUGCUGGAACAUUUACCCUUCUAGUGCCUAUUCAUCACUCCUUUUGCUAUUUUCGCACUUGUGCAUUUUGUUUGGUAUAUGGUUUGCACCUGCUGAGUACCCCUAUGUCAUCAAUAAAGAGACAUAACAGACAUGUCAAGAAGUUGCAAAGCUAGACUUCCCUGCAAAAAUAGUAUUAUAAUCUUUGAAGGCAGCAGUCAGGAUACAAGCAAUGCCAAAGGCUUCUGGAAAUUGCAAUGUAUUUUGGUAUGCCAAUACUCUUAGGAUUAUUUGACCCAAAUUUCUAGAGUAGCAUCUAGACAUACCAAAAUGUCCAUGUGUAACUUCUUAACAUAGAUGAUAGCUACUCUAACUAUAAGAGUAACUAUGGUUGGGGACUUUCCCAGGAUCUUGUUCUAUCAUCUUGCUGGUCUCCUUUAGCCAUCAAUGUUACAUUGAUAUCUUAAAAAAAGAUUCUAGACAUGUAAAGCAAUAUAUGUUAUUAUCAAGAAAGCGGUUGUGGCCGUGCAUAUAGCUCGAAUGGCUUGGCACACAAGGACUCAGACCCAAGGACUCAGAGGUUAUACUGGUUCAAACAACAUGCUCUACGUACAGUGAGUGGUGUCCGAUUGUAUUUCUGAGCUCAAGGGCCAAAAUUUGCAAUAAGGGUUACAAAGUGACGGUAUGAGAGUGUUUGUGGAUCACGAGAGGAGUCUAGAGAGCCUAGAACUGUCAGAGAGAGCGAAAAGAGAUCCAUGCCUCACCUAGCCACGCAAAAGGUUAAGGAUGGAACGGUUGCUCUACGUCAACUAGCCACGCUGGAGUCCCGAUCAUCUUUAGGCCUUGUUUAGUAUCUAAAAUUUUUCGAGAUUCUCCAUCACAUUAAAUCUUGCGGUACAUGCAUAGAGUAUUAAAUAUAGAUAAAAAAAAGAUGACUAAUUGUACAUUUUACAUAUAAUUUACAAGACGAAUAUUUUGAGCCUAGUUAAUCCAUAAUUGGAUAAUAAUUAUCAAAUAAAAAUAAAAGUGCAGCAGUAGCUAAAUCCAAAAUUUUUGCUGAACUAAACAAGGCCUUAUCCACUCUGACCACAUACUGUUGUGUCUCGUCCUAUUUGUAUAGGAACGGAAGUUUUAGGCCUUGUUUACUUCCGAAAAGAUUUUCGGAUUUCGGUACUAUAAUAUUUUCGUUUUUAUUUAACUAAUAUUAUCCAAUCAUGAACUAACUAGGUUCAAAAGAUUCAUCUCAUGAUUUACAGGCAAACUAUGCAAUUAGUUUUUGUUUUCGUCUAUAUCUAAUGGUUCACGCAUGUGCUCCAAGAUUCGAUGUGACGAAGAAUUUUGAAAAGUUUUCGAAAUUUGAGGAAUUUUGAAAAGUUUUUGAAUUUUGAAAAGAUUCGAUAUGACCAACUUACUAAUUUCAUUUUUGUAGAUGUACCUAACACUAAAAGAUUGUUCCAUAAUACAAAUUGUGCGGAUAUAAACAUAAAGAGAAAGGUACAACCGCUCUACAACUUCAAAGCUGGUUUCAUAUUUACAUACAUGCAAAAGAUUACAAAGGAUUUUUCAUACUCCUAAGUCCUAAUUCAAAAUAUUGCUUGUCUAUUUGUGAUGUUUGUGAAGUAUGAUUUUUCAUACAACCUAACUUGGUGAUGUUUGUGAAUUUUUUAUAUAACGUGGACAUAGGCAAUUCUUGGUGGUGAGCUGAACCAUGAGAUAAAUCACAUGUCUUCUCUCUUGUGUUAGGAAUUGUGUUAUUUGUGUUCCAUUCAAUCUACUUGGUUGUGCGUGUUUGUAGAUGCAAGUUUGAGUUUGAUUUCUAGGCGGGUAGCUUUUGUUGAGCUCUCUAUGUAGUGCAGCAAUGCUGCAGCAUUGCACGGAAGUGCGUGACAUAGCAGUUCAACGACCAAGUCUGGUGGUGCCGUGCUUGUUACUAACCGCUUUAUUGCACUUAAAUCAUACAUAUUCACCCCUUCUCUAAGCAACAUCAAGAUACUUUCAGCACAUUGGUCCACUUAACAAGCUUAAGGACCUGGAAAUACGUUUUCAAUCAUUGACCUUAGUGGCACCCUUUGACAAAUUCAGGGACCACUCAUGCAUUUAACUUAUUAUUAAGUCUAUAUGAAAUAUGUCUUGACAAUGUGUUAUUUGAACUCAUAGAUGUUAAUAUAUAUUUAAAAAUGGUUAAAGUUAAAGAAGUUUAACAACAAAACCAAAGUAAACUAUAAUUUAGAAUGGAGGAGAUAUAAAUUUAACUUCUAUGUUUAAUUUGAGGAAUGAGUAGUAUAUGGAUCCUAGUAUUUCAUUGUAAGAGUAUAAUUUAAACAGUGAGUCAGGUAGACAUCUGUCUUAUCCAUCUAGCAUUCAAAAUUAUCAUCAUUUUGCCUAACUGCCUCUAUGGGUGUUUGGAUCCAAGAGAAUUUAUUAUACCAAUUAGAAUGUCCAAAUAAGAUGGUAAUAAGAGCUAAUGUGGGCUAAUUUGUGGUUAGAGUCCAUUAGCCCUUAUCAGACCACAAUUAACAAGAUGGGCUAAUUUUUAGCCUGGUAUCCAAAUAGGCCCUUAAUUUGUUAAAUGAUAACUUCUACAAGUUUUGAUCAAUAAUUAGUUAAAUUAUAUACUACCUCCUGUCAUUUUUAUUUGACGUUCCAGACAACGUUCUUCACUUCAUUGGUAGUUUUCAUUCUGAAAUACAGAGGUUAAUGGACGGAGGGAGUAUAAUUAGGUAACAUCUGCAUUUCAUUCCAUUCAUAUGGACAAUGGUUACUGAUUGUUUGCUUCAUUGCUCGUCUUCAGUGACGCACGUGCCAGAAUCCUAGAACGUUCAGGUGUAGUAGUACGUACUUACUUGUGGCAACGUGAGAGAAAAAAAAAUCAUUUUGAUUCCUUGCGGUUGCAAAGGCAAAUCGACACAAGCAAAUGAUUGUGUUGUGUCCUCUACCCAUCCAAUGGUCCACCCAUUCCAUUCCAAGCAAGCGGUCGAUCGGAAAUACUUGGGCUCCAUGCCUCCAAGCAAGCGUCUCCAGAUCACCUGCCCCGCGUGGUUGGUUGGUUCUCAUCGUCGCGGUUUUGUUUCUUUCUUGGUUGGUUCGUCCACUUCUCGCCCUUCACCGCCUGUGGCUGUGGCUGCUGCUGCUGCUGCUCUGUAUGAGAGACUGUAUGUGUGUGUGACAGUGACAGGUGGGAGAGGAGGCGCCAGACGCGAGAGGCUUCCCGAGGUCUCCGCCGGGCGCCGGCACAAGUCCACCCACCGGCACUUUGACUGGGAGUUGGAGAUUCUUGCGUGGAACUGGCAGGGAUCUGCUGCCCAUCCAUAUAUUGUAAUUCACUAAUAUACGCUCUAGAUUUUGGCUAUCAUUUUCUGAUCCCGCGUCCUUUUUUUUUAUGCGGAUACACUGAUGCGCACAUGUCUGAUGUCUCCUCCCUCGAUCUCAAUCUAGAGGCUGCAACAGUUCAGUAGGCGGAGGAAGGCGCAUCACACGAACAAGGUGGAAGGAACCGGACGGAGCUUGGACAAGGACAAGGCGACCGGGCAAGGGGAGUGGUGGACUGGUGGUUAUCGGUUUCUCCGUUAACCACUCUGUCCGAUCCGCCGGUGUGUCCGAAGUCCGACCGAUCCUCCCGUGCGCGACCCUGUCGACGAAUCAAUCGCUGGUAUACUCAUCUUAGUUCCCCCACUUCAUCUUCUUUUCUCAGACCAUAGGUUUCAUGAUGCCCCCGCUUCGUUGUUCGUUUGUUUCGUGUGUGCGCGUCAAUGGAAGAAGUGGAAAGGUUGCAUCUUCACCUUUUGCGUGGGGUACCCAGGUCGGCCAGGUUAUGAAUCUCUGAAUAGUGUGUUGGUGGCCCUCGCUUUCUUCGGCCUGUUCUUUUGCCUGUGCUUUUAUCUACUCCUAUUUGCGGUAUUUGGCAAUUAAGAUUAGGAUACAUGUAUGCGUUGAUCUCUCUCUUUGCCGGCAAGGCAAGGAGAAAAGUGAUUCUUUUUAUUCUUAUAAGUGGACUGGCGCAAGUAUAGUAUCAGAUUUAAUGAGAACGACGAGGACAGCAAACUUAUAUAAUGUCUUGCUGAUAUAUGAUGGCAGGGACGAUUAGUUAAGCAUUCCAAUCCUCAGCCAUGGCCGUGGACACUACCCAACCGGAGUACUGGCUCAACUGGAGGUUCUUGCUGUGUGCGCUCUGGGUCUACUCCUGCAUGGCCUUGGCGUUCUUCUUGAUUUGGAAGUAUGAGGGGGCCCGUUCACUGGACAGCAGUGGUGAUAAUGGCGAGGACAGAGAAGAGGCAUUGCCACAGGUCGGGCCUGGUGUUGUUUAUCUUGAAGAUUGCUGGAAGACGUGCAUUGAGGGGAUCCAUCCUGGCUGGCUGUUGGCGUUUCGCCUUGUGGCCUUCUUCGUUUUGGCUUCAUUGCUUGUGGUCGACAUCGUUACUGAUGGAUGGAGUAUCUUCCUAUACUACACACAGUAAGCCCAUCUUCAUCCUGAUUGGUCAUAAUUCCCAGAAGUAGUUCCACUGCCCACAAUCAAAAGAACUUAUGCUGAAAUGAUGUUGUACGUUUGGCAGGUGGACGUUCUUGCUUGUCACCUUGUAUUUUGGGGUAUGUAGUUUGCUAAUGGAACAUUGGUUUGUUUUUUUGUUUUGGUUAUUUGUCACUUUAAUUUUAUAUCAACCUUGAAUCUCAAUAACUGACACUGACAUCAUAUCUCACUGCACUCGUGCAACACUGGUACAAAGGCUUACAUGAUCUGAAGAAGACUGUAGCAUUUAUGUAUUCUUGCUGAUGAUUUUUCACCAGUACUAACUAGUGAAUGUCUCAAUACCUUCUUCAUCUGCAGCUUGGAUCAUUGCUUUCGAUUUAUGGAUGCUAUCAGUAUGUUUACAGUACCGGUGGAGAUACAUAUGAUCUGGUAAGAUCUGGUGCAGAUCAUGGCACAUAUAUGACAGCUCCAACAGCAGAAAGUGCAUAUGACCCUACAAUCAAAAUUUCUUAUUACACUAAAGCAAACAAUGGUCGAGCAGGAUUUUGGGGUUAUAUGUUCCAGAUCUUGUUUCAGGUAACUCAUCAAUCAUCAUAAGCAUGUCGUAGCUUCACAUUUCCACAAAAAGUUGACCUGUUUUAUAUUAAUAAAAGUAAUACAGAGAAACAGUAAAGAUGACUGACACUAGUACUCCACUCAAAUUAUGUGUUUCUUUUCCAGACAAAUGCAGGUGCUGUGAUGAUUACAGAUUUGGUGUUCUGGUUUAUUUUGUACCCUUUCCUUGCCCACAAUCAGUAUGAGAUGAAUUUUGUGAGUAUUCCCUUUCUGCAAUUUUAGGAACUGUAAUAAUCUACAAUCUGACUUGUUCAGUGAACAAUAUUAACUAAAAGUGUUCCAUAUACAUUACUUUUUUCCUUUAAAAAUUUACCUUAAAGAUCAUAAUUCACUAUAUAUACCUAGGGAUUUUGGAAGUCUGAUAUGAUAGUAUAUAACUUAAUGGUCUGUGACCUUUUAUCAGUUACUUUGUAUUCAGUCACCUUAUAGACUCCUUUUUUUGGAACUUAUGGCUGGAGCUCUUGCUAUAUGAAUAAAGAGAUAAAAUAUGCCUUCUGCUAUUACUUCUGUAUCAUUUCUACAUGGUUAAGGGGAUGCAGAAGUGGCAGUACACAAGUGCUUAGCACUGCUUUUGGUAGGCACAUCAGUUGUGGCCUAUUUCUUUUAAAGAAUGACUAGCAGACAUGCCCGUGUGUUGCAACGUUAGGUACAGCUUGGGUCAUCUAUUCCAAUGUGUCUUAGAAUUGGACGUGUGCUAUUCUAACUCCUAUAAGCAUGGGUUGUGAGUUCAGGUCAUGGGUUGGACGCCAAUUAGGAUUCUUAUCUCUUCAUCACAUACUACUACUCUUAGUAAAACUGGCUAAGAUGUCUCUUAUGCUCGAGGGAGGGAGUGGAGGGACAGACAGACUUGGAAGAGUGAAGGGCUAAAAUUUGUGGGCGAGAAGUUUUCACUCUUUAAUAUUAGGUAUAGAAAUGUUACAUGAUUACGUGCUAUUCAUAAUAAUAUAUAGUCAUACUACAAAAGAGAAAUUUAUUUGUUGAGGUUUGUUAUUUGUAUUCUUUUUUUCUGUAUUUAGUUCUUAAAGUUCUUAAUAUGUGCACAACAGAUUCUGAUUGGGACACAUUCAAUCAAUGUUGUCUUCAUAGUUGGUGAUGCUGCUCUAAACAAACUGGUAAAUGUCUCAUGCUAUAACAUUGAUCUAUAUCAUGAUCAACUGAUCUCUGUAUUGAUAUUUUAAUCUAUAAAUGCAGCAUUUCCCGUGGUUUAGGAUAGCAUACUUUCUGCUGUGGACAGGCAUUUUUGUUAAUGUUCAGUGGAUCAUCCAUGCUAACGUGUCAACCUGGUAGUGCUACCUGCUUAGCUCUUUUUUUUUCUUCCUAAUGAGGUGAAAUUGGGAUGUGUAACAUGUUUUGCUUUGUUCAGGUGGCCUUACCCAUUUUUAGACUUGGCAUUCCCUGGUGCACCUGUAUGGUAAGCUCAACUCAAUGAAAGAAAUGACUAUUUUUCUAAAUAUAUGGUUUCAUGAGUAGCUAAUGCAUCAGUGAGACAAAAAAAGUAGAAACUAGACAUUACAUGACAGUAGAACCACAAGCUAGUGAUAGCUAUGAAAAUCUUAUUACCACAUGAACAGAUGUGAUGACAUACAAAGGACAUAACAAUUUGGUACCUAAAUACUUUUGGUUGUCACACUCAUUUUACACUGAAGCCAUCAAGAAAUUUGCUAUCAUGCUCUUUCUGUCAUAAUCAUAAGUAUGCCAGUAUUGCUGUAAACUGCGAUUUCAUCAUCUUGAAAGAAAAAACUGUAACUCCUGGCAGGUACCUGGUGGUGGCAGUGCUGCACUUCCCAUGCUACGCUCUAUUCACCCUGGUGCUGAGGCUCAAGCAUAUGUUGUUGGAAAGUUGGUUCCCUCAAACUUAUGUGAAGUAAUCAAGGAGGACAGUAUUCGUUAUCAAAAAGAAAGAAAAAAGGAGGACAGUAGUCGUAGUUGGUUGUCCUUAUACGUUACCUUCAGCAAGAUUAAGCGGAGAUUCUGCAAACUGUCUGCACACCCGAAAUCACAUUGUUCAGAAAUAGAUCACACCGGCCUGUCGACAGAUUUCUCUGAAAGUGGGCAUGUAAAUUGACAGAGCAUGUUCCAAAAAUUUUGAGAUCAGCAGCUUAUUUCAACCAGCUGCUGUCACCAGGCAUUGCAACCAUAUGUUUAUCCCCAAUGGAGAUAUGUGUACAGUCCACUAAAUAUAUCCAAUUAUUUCCAACAAUUUUCAUGUUCCCUGGGUGACUUACCUAGCCCGUUAAGUUUCUUAGUGGCAUCAUCUAUGCUGUGCGUGUUAUAUCCUUGCCUUUUGGCGGGACGAGAUCAGAUAGCAUCAGCACCAUGGUGUGGUGUGGGCUUGGUGUUAUUUCCAUUAUGUUUCCAAAACGAGUCCAUUCUGGACGAGUUCUUAGUGAUCAAGGGCAUCUCUCCACUCAAUACUUCCAGUCUCCAGAUUUGUUCGUUCUCUUCAGGCUCAGGGCAUGAUGAACCUAAACUAAGCUCCGUUUGGUUCCCCUUGCUAAAUUUUAACUACUCUUGGGUGACUAAUGGAACUAAACUAUCUUGCAAAUGCUCGUGUCUUCACGUGGGAGUUCUGGUGGUGGUUUUUCAGGUUCAGCCACCUUGGGGCCCGUUCGUUUAGCCUGAUUUCUAGCCGGAACUAUUCCUAAUGAUCUUUGCUAUGUAAAAUACAACACCGAUCCAGGCCGGAUUGGUUCCCGUAUUGGAUUCCGUUCGAACCGAACGUACCCUUGGUUGGUUCGCACGACAGCAGACAUCAACAGCUCGGCAGCUCCUCUCCGAAGUGUUUGUGCUGGAAAAAAGAAAAACGAGAGGGAAUUGCAAAUAGCAGCACACAAUGGGCUGUAUGAUCUUGGGCCUUUAGAGUCUGAGUGUGUUUCGGCUGGACGGACUGGGACCCACGCCACCGGCAACCCCGCGGUUACAGCCUCAGAUGGGCCGUCGUGGUCCAGGCAUGAUGUGCCAAAGCCAGAACGUGUCGGUGGGACCGGUGGGGCCCCUGCUCACCUCGCAUCUUUUUGUAGUAGUACGGUACUGCACGUCUGUACUGUACUACUACUGCAGAAGCGCAUAGUGGCACGCCGGAGAGUCACGUGCGCACAGCACAGGCGCGGCAGCGGCAGCACCGGCCGGCACUGGCAGGCGAGGCGACCGCGACCGCGACCGCCUCCGUGCAUCCGUCCGGCCGAUCCCGGCGUCGCAUGCGCACGCCGACGCCGCGCUUCCCGGCCACGGUCUCCCAAGCCGGCGAACAGCAAAUCGCACUCGCACGACCACGAUCGCUCACUCGUACGCACGCCAGCGCCGCUGGCGCCUUGCGCCUUGGGGCUGUUCGCUUGUCGUUGCUCCCGUCCUGAGGCGCCCGCGCGGCUGCUCCCUCUUGGCCUCGGUUGGGAGCUGUUGGACUAGUAUCAUCACGCGGCCGUCCGGUCGUUCGUGCCGGCCGGCCGGGAUCCGCCGCGCCCGAGGAGGAUCACUGUUGUUGAGUAGUACGGCGCUCACAUUCCCGCCGCAUCGGCAACCGCGCCGCCGGCACUGGGGCGGCGUAGAAUAAUCAGAUCGCCGGCACUGGAGGCCAGCGUCAGCGUGCCGGCCGGCCAUCUCCCGGCCACGCGACAAAGAUGCUUUGCUCGCUGGCUCGUCGGAGUUUGGGUCCGUUUUGGCUUUGGCAUGUGCCGUGCCGACGCCGGGUAGACGCAGACGGGAACGGCCUCGCCGGAUUCGGAAUUGGUGGGUUCUGGGUGCCGUCCUCGCAGAUCCAAGAACUGCCGGUUUGCUAGUUUUAUUCGGGCCUAGUUCCAAAAUUUUUUGCAAAAUAGGAAUAGUAUCACUUUCGUUUGUAUUUGACAAAUAUUAUCCAAACAUGUACUAACUAGACUCAAAAGAUUCGUCUCGUCAAUUUCGGCCAAACUGUGCAAUUAGUUUUUAUUUUUGUCUAUAUUUAAUACUUUAUACAUGGGUCUAAAGAUUUGAUGUGACGGAAAAUGUGAAAAAUUUUGUAAAAUUUUUUGGGAAGUAAACAAGGCCUCGGUCACAACGCACAAUUAUUGUUGUAGCCACAGGAGUACAGGACUACUGGCUACUGCAACCCCACACGAUAUAUCUCAUAUGUUGAAUGGUCGGCUGAGAGAUUUUAAUGAGUCACGUUUAGUAUAGCUUUACUUCACUAAUAGAGUAAUUUUUUUCUUCGUUUUCAUUGUUGGAGUUGAAACUGUUUUAGAAAAAUAUUUGGUAAGUAAACUUUUUAUAGUAGAGAAGAGGAAGCUGGGAGGAACUAGUAUUUUCAGUUUCAUCUAGCUUUGAGAACAGAUUUUAAGGAGCUCCACUUGAAGAAUUAGUCCAUUUUAUUAAUCCAUUAGGCAAAAAAUACAUCUAAAUAGCUCUUGAAAUUGUUAGAAAAUAUGUGCCAAAUGACGCAUAAGAAUAUACAAGUUGUUAUUAAUUUUGCUAGGAGCAACGGCGACUCGUUGGUCCAUAUGGCUCGAUUUGGAAAAAAAAAAUGUUACUCCUAUGCAAGUUAUUUUCUUGGUUACUCUCUGGUCAUGUUCUUAUGAUUGAUUCAGUUUCUACUGCAAAAAAAAGAGUGAAACUAUAACCAAACAGGUGUAACUUGACACCAUAGACUUUACUUUUAGCUUUCAACUUUUCAAAAUGGUGCAAAUAGAGAUAUUUCGGAGCUGUUUUAAGGGAGAUAUAGAUAGAAGCUAGGUUUAUAGUUGUUUUAAUUAAACAACUUAUAACUUUUGCAUAGGACAUACUCUCUCUCUCUCUCUAACUAUUUUUAUUUGUCCUAAGUCAACUUACCUCAUGUUUGACUAAAAUGGUAGGAAAAUAUAUUAAUUUCUACUACGUCAAAAAGGUAGUUGUAAAAAUAUAUUCCAUAAUGUUUAUAACGGAGCUCACAUAAUGUUAAAAUAUUAUUGUUCUUUCUAUAAAUUUUAGUCAAAUUUAAGAUAGGUUAACUUAGGGUAAAUGAAAAUAUACUACGUCCUUGCUGAUUCACACGGGAUUCCACGUGCCUCAUGCUACUCGGGUCAGAGCGUAAGCUAGUGAUGCUUUCGGCUACUGGACUUUAGCCAUCUAGGGUGCGGCACUCAACCGCUUCGCCUAGCAGCACAACGCUUGUAUUGCUCUCCCACAACCCCGUUUUCACGGUUUAGGCUGCUCCCAUUUCGCUCGCCGCUACUACGGGAAUCGCUUUUGCUUUCUUUUCCUCUGGCUACUAAGAUGUUUCAGUUCGCCAGGUUGUCUCUUGCCUGCUCAUGGAUUCAGCAGGCAGUUCAAAAGGUUGACCUAUUUGGGAAUCUCCGGAUCGACGGAUGGAGCAAAUCCUUAGAUUGCAUAAAGUCGGAUUUGCAUGAUAUAGUUGUGGUGAUAUCACAACAAGAAGCUGUUUUAUGCGGGAUAUAGUUGUGAUGGUCUCACAGCAAUUGAUAUAUGUGGUUAAGGAUAUUUUUUUUCUAGACAAAUAGAUGACAGUCUAGUUUAGGCCUUGUUUAGUUCUAAAAGUUUUUAGGAAAUCGACAUUGUAGCACUUUCGUUUGUAUUUGAUAAAUAUUGUCCAAUCAUGGACUAACUAGGCUUAAAAGAUUCGUCUCGUCAAUUCCGACCAAACUGUGCAAUUAGUUUUUAUUUUUGUCUGUAUUUAAUAUUCUAUGCAUACGUCUAAAGAUUUAAUGUGAUGAGAAAUCUAAAAAGAUUUACAAAAUUUUUUGGGAACUAAACAAGGCCUUAUAAAUUGUAUUCACUUGGCGCGUGUUGUGGAAGCCAUAUGAUUACGACGGUAUCACAACAUUCGACACACGUGACUAAGGAUUUUUUUUUCAGACAUAUACGUAGCGGUCUAAUUUAUGAAUUGGUAGUAAAAGAAUUGGUAGUGAAGUGUUAGAUCUUUUCUCGGUUGCGUGUCUCUUGUUAGGUGGAGAACGCUGGAAGUUUUUCUGCAAUGUUUUUGUAUCGACAUGAUGUAUUCAGAGGUUUUUAUAUAAAAAAGGUUUCUUAAUUAAAAGACGUGUGUUCCUGGUGAAGAUGUCAGAUUCCGAUGGGAGAGAUUGGAAAACGGCUGCUGGCCAAACAAGCCCUUGUUGUUGAGUUCACUCUGAAAAUCAAAAAGUUUUUAAGAUUCUCCGUCACAUCGAAUCUUGUGCCACAUACAUGAAACAUUAAAUAUAAACAAAAAAAACUAAUUACACAGUUUAGCUAUAAAUCACGAGACGAAUCUUUUGGUCCCAGUUAGUUCAUGAUUAGAUAAUAUUUGUCACAAACAAACGAAAGUGCUACAGUACCGAAAACUUUUCACUUUUCGGAAGUAAUUGGCCUUGUUUAGUUCUCAAAAAAUUUUCCAAAAUUUUUCAGAUUUCCCGUCACAUCGAAUCUUUAGAGGUAUGCAUGAAGUAUUAAAUAUAGACGAAAAUAAAAACUAAUUACACAGUUUGGUCGGAAUUGAAGAGAUGAAUCUUUUGAGCCUAGUUAGUUCAUGAUUGGACAAUAUUUGUCAAAUACAAACGAAAUUGAUACUAUUCACAUUUUGCCAAAAAUUUUGGAACUAAACAAGGCAAGCCCAAGUGGAAUGCACUGCACUGCACAACACGCCCGCACGGGUACGGCAGACGGGCCUUGGUGGCUGGGGGCCUGCGCGCUGUUUGCGCAAAUAUUUGUUGGAGAACCAGAACAGUGCGACAUGGAGUUAUUUCCCGUCGAUCUGAUCUGCCGGUUCUGCUCUCGUUCGUCGAUGAUCAAUCGAUGCGCGCUGAUGAAUGCCAGAGUACACCCCAACAGUGCCGCUGUACCAACUAGGGCCUUGUUUACAUUCAAAAAGUUUUUGGAUUUUAAUAUUAUAGUUUUUUUGUUUUUUAUUUGACAAAUAUUAUUCAAUUAUAGAAUAACUAGGAUUAAAAGAUUUGUCUCGCGAUUUACAGACAAAUUGUGUAAUUAGUUUUUGUUUUCAUCUAUAUUUAAUGCUCUAUGCAUAUGCCGCAAGAUUCGAUGUGACGAGGAAUCUUGAAAUUUUUUUUUUUUCCGGAGGUGAACUAAACAAGGUCUAGAAAGUAGUGUUGGCUGAUUUAUUGUGAGAGAAAAACACGGCUAGGAUUGAAGCAAACAAGACGUAGAGUUCCCUGCGGUGGUCGGAUGAUCCGACGGCGAAGGUGGAUCGGAACCUUUUGCAAUUGCAUGGAGAGAGGUCAGAGGUCGACAAGAUCUUCAGACUUAAGAGGCGCCGCGUAGCGUAGGCCUAGCCUAGCCUAGCCUUGCUCACAUUUUGGUAGCGUGACGUUGUUGUCCAACGACAAGGACGGACGCACGCCGUGAUCGGUCGAUCGAUGGAAUGCAUGUGUGCCGCCGUUGCGUGGCCCCGUGGGUGGGGGCGGGGGGAAGAGGAAUGCGACCGGCCGGGACUAAUGGAAGCUCCCCGGGACGGAAUCAUGGGGGAUGAUUAGUUGCCAUGAUAACUGUGGCGUCCCUCUCGCUUCGGUUGCACUGUCCCCAGCCCCAGCUCAUAAGCUUUCGCUUGUACUACCUACCACUCGCUACCAGGCAGGCGGCGAGCGAGACGACGAACCAACCGUGGCGUGGCAAUCGGCAAUGGCAACCACCAGUCCACCACCACCACCACCACACGGGACAAGGGGGGCACCAGGGCGCAGGGGACACCUCCAUCUCGUCCAGUUCUCCGCGACGACUCCUUCUCCAUGUGCAGCAGGCGCAGCGCCAGCCUCUUGGCUCUUGCCGUGCGGUGCCUAUAGCUAGCUGCGGCGCACUGCCCAGUGCCACCAACCAACCUCGCUCGCCGUUGACAUGUGAGAAGCGGUCGAGCUUGCUUGUCCGUGUGCUGCUUGGAAUGGAAUGUAACGCGAUGUGGUGACCAGCGUUGCCGGUGAUCCCUGACCGACCCUGCAGAAAUCGUCUAGCACGGCCGCCUCCAUCAGACCCAGAUUGUGCAGCAGCACGCGGCGUGUGAACCGACCGAGGACUGCGGGUUUUGGUUAAGGCCUUGUUUAGUUUGGGAAAAAUUUUGGAUUUCGCCACUGUAGCACUUUCGUUUGUUUGUGGGAAAUAUUAUCUAAUCAUAGACUAACUAGGAUCAAAAGAUUCAUCUCGUGAUUUACAGAUAAACUGCGUAAUUAGUUUUUAUUUUCGUCUAUAUUUAAUGCUUCAUGCAUCUGCCGUAAGAUUCGAUGUGACGGGGAAUCUUAAAAAAUUUUGGGAACUAAACAAGGCCUAACGGGGCACGCGCACACGCACACGCACACGCCUACGAGCGGGCAGCGGCAGCGGCAGCCGGCAGCUAGCUGCAGCCUGCAAGUGGCAGUGGCAGCGCCCAGUGGGCUGGCGGCCUGGCACCUUUCCCUGCGGCGGCGGUCCGGCCGACCGGUAGCGGCCCGCGCCAGCCCGCUCGUGGCGUACCGCUGCACUGCACUGCACCUGGGCGCGGUGCCUCGGACUGCCGGCCGGUGCCGCAGCCCGCAGGGGCAGAGCACGCAGCGAGCACCCAUCAAUGACCCCGGGUCGCAGCUGGAGCGCCCUCCCCUCCGCACCUCACCUCACCACUCUCUCCACGGCCACUGUUACGCGCUGCACAGUUACUGUUAUGCAGCAGAGAAACUGAGGCCUUGUUUAGUUCACUCCGAAAACCAAAAAGUUUUCAAUACAUGAAACAUUAAAUAUAGACGAAAACAAAAACUAAUUACACAGUUUAGCUAUAAAUCAAGAGAAGAAUCUUUUGGUAUAAUAUUUGUCACAAACAAACGAAAGUGCUACAGUACCGAAAACUUUUCACUUUUCUCAACUAAACAAGGCCUGAGGCCGUGUGCCCGUGUUCGCCAUGCCUGCUGUCAUUGUGAGCCAACAUUCUACCGUGGUAAAACUGUCCUGUAGUAUGUCAUAUCCUUCCUCGUCUAUCGGUGUGUGUGUGUGUGUUUGCUGAACGGAGGUUGCGUCGAUAUAUAAGCCAAUGUAAGAAAGUUAUUAUUAAGAUGAUAUUUGGUUGUCUAUAUAAACAGAUGCAAUUUGAGUAUUUGACUAUCGUGUAUGACUGACAUGUGGGCCCCUCUCGCUCCAUCCGCAGGGCCUACUUUGGGACCGAUGGCUGGAAUGGCCGCAUGACCAUAGCCCAGAUGUAGCUCUAAUCCUGCACGAGCGGAUGCAGCCGGUCACCCAAAACAUCCUUCCUCCUAGUUUAUUCGGCUGGCAAUGUGUAGGCUGGUCGGUGCAUGUUUUUGCAUAUAUUUUUUUUACGUGCACAAAUGCAUAUUGUAGAUAUGUGAAAUGCAAAGAUCGACCGGAUCAAACCAAGACAAAUCGGAUGUAGAAUGCGGCAAUGAUCAUAUCCUUAGUGAAACAACUCAUGAACUGUGUAGAAAGAAACCAAAUAGGUUUAUUUUGAGAAGACGUAUGAUAAAGUUAAGUAGCCUUUUUUAUAUAAAAAAUAUUAAAGAAUAGAUUCCUUUUAACAAGGUGAAAACAAAAAAAAAAGGACUUUUUAGGUCAAAGACUUAUUCCUUGGUUUAUCUACUUUUGAUUUUUGACAAGAACGAGUGGUUAGAAAACUUUACUCUCAAAAAAUGACAUUUUUUGUUAUUAUACAACAAAGCAAGGAGAAGGAAUGUAACUAGCUCAAGUGUUUGUUGUGAAUGAUGGUGGAUAAACGAUGAGGAGACACAAGAUUUAACGUGGAAAACUCCUCCAAUGCGAAGGGGAAAAACCACGGGCACCAGCCAGCAAACACUCCUCACUAUUAUCAAGAGUUGGGUUACAACGCCAUGAGGCGGCUUACAAGAUCAUAUCUUCGGUGGAACCUUAAUUUGGAUAUAUGUACCGUACAGAAGUUGGCUUUUAUAAUGUGCAACUGAAUUUGGAACAUAUUCAACAGUGUUUAGGUCUACACCUUUGAACAUUUCGUUUAAUUGAGCCCUAGUAGAAGAUAGGCUACGUAAGUAGAAUGAGUUGGUUAAUGUAAUAGUGUUUGUGCAACUUGAUGGCCCACGCGACUUUGAAAUGGGGUCAUAUAGGAACUUGAUGACCAAUUUCCACCAUAUUGCAAUGCCUCUAACCAAAUCUUUAUAGAAGUUGAAGUUACAUUUUAAAAUUAGAGUCCUUGCUUGGUCAACAAAAGACAAUCUUCUAAAGCGCAAUUGUUAUUGUCGACGAAAGCUAGUCGGCAGUCUACCUUGGAGUAUACCCAAGGCAGUAGUUUAUCGGCAAACGAUGCGCAAGCUACGAACUUGAUGGUGACGCAAGACACGGACAAGCUUUUUAUCCAAGUUCGGCCGCCGUGUGGGCGUAAUACCUACGUCCUGCGUCUGGUUGUAUUGAUUUGUGUUGAGAUAAUAAUGAGUUGUCUAUGACUUGUCCUCUAGGGGACCCUUGCCCCUCCUUAUAUAUCUUGAAGGGACAGAGUUACAAACAAAGUAUCCUAUUUGGUACAAUAUCUUGUAGUCUUGCGGUGCACACCGACCAGUCGUGCGCCGCACGUCUUCAUCCUGUGGGUCGAGCCACCUCUGACGGUGCGGCCCAUAUAGGCCCAUGAGGUGUCGACGAAAGCUGGUCGGCAGUCUACCUUGGGGUAUACCCACGGUAGUAGUUUAUCGGUAGACGGUGCGCAAACUACGAACUCGAUGGUGACGCAAGACACGGACAAGCUUUUUAUCCAGGUUCGGCCGCCGAGUUGGCGUAAUACCUACGUCCUGCGUCUGGUUGUAUUGGAUUGUGUUGAGAGAUUACGAUGUCCUAGGGGGGUCCCUUGUCCCUCCUUAUAUAGUCCGGAGGGCAGGGUUACAGAUCUGGAAACUAAUCCUAGUCGGUUACAAUUGCCAUAGAUAGUUCGAUAUCAAUUCCUAUUCUAACCGACUAGAAUUCUGUUUGAUCUCCACAUCUUGCUUCCUUGUGCGAGACUCCAGGCUGUCGGAUCAAGCCUUAAACUCGUCUCGUAAUGGGCCAAGCCUCCUGGCCCAAGUCUAGCCGUAAGGGUAUAGGGGUCUAUCCCCCCACAGCUAGUCCCCGAGCACCAUGUAUUGUGAUGUAACACGCCGCCUUGAGCUUCUUCGAUCAGUGAGACUUGACGUCUUCAAUAAGCGGGAAAGUCGCCCAAACAGUUGCAACAGUAUUUUGACCAACUCAAAAGACAGUUGAUCAACAUUGUCAUCGAAGAAGCAGGUUGUUUGAAGAAUGCAUGGUGCUCUAAAUUAAAAAAAGAUUUCUUUCUUGGUGAAGUGUGCCCACUUUACUUUUGCGAAAAGUGUAGUCUUCAAAAUAGCAAGCAUAUUCACCGCAAGGUGAAGUGUGCCCACUUAGUCCCCGAGCCUGGUAGUAGGUGACGUAGGCACGUGGUGCCAGGGUCAAAAGAAAAGUCCUCAAAGAAAUUCUGAAACCGAGAUGCAUCGCCAGAUGCAUCGUACCGAUGUAGUCCCCGAGCUUGCUGGAAGGCGAAGUAUGAGCCUUGUAGCAAGGUCUAAAGAAUUGAAUUUACCAGUCCCCGAGCAUGUCAUGCUCGUCUGUAAUCGAAAAGACCCGUCCCCAGGCACUUAGUGUGCUGCCUGGAAUUACAUGUUACUAUACUAUACGACCAGUCCCCGAGCAUCGAGUGCUCGGUGGUCGGUGAAUGCUUUAAAGCUGUGAGCUGAUAGACUGAGCGACCAGUCCCCGAGCGUCGAGUGCUCUGUGGUCGGUGCAUUAUUUGAAGUUCCGAGCUAAUAAACUGAGCGACCAGUCCCCGAGCGUCGAGUGCUCGGUGGUCGGUGCAGUCUUUGAAGUUCCGAGCUAAUAAACUGGGCGACCAGUCCCCGAGCAUCGAGUGCUCGGUGGUCGGUGCAGUCUUUGAAGUUCCGAGCUAAUAAACUGGGCGACCAGUCCCCGAGCAUCGAGUGCUCGGUGGUCGGUGCAGUCUUUGAAGUUCCGGAUUGCUGACUCACUGGCGUAUGUGUCUUCUUACUUUUGAAAAGGUCUUUCAAAUUUGAAGUUGACAUGACGGGGUCUCCUGACGAUAUGUCAGACGGAUGCAUGAAAAGCUGUGCCUGGCAACUGUACAACCGCUCUUUGCGUGGUUUGAGAAAAAGGAAACCAUCAAUUGGUACGAAAACUCCGCCGCAUUAAUUGUCUAUAAUCAUUAUAAACCGAAACGCCGCGUCCGCCGCAUGGCCUGCCCACUUCCCGAGAUUACAGGAAGUGGGAGAGGUGGGGUCGCUGGUUUAUAAGGGCCUAAUAGGACCUCCUGUACCGCUUCUCCUGCAAUUGCCGUCAAAUCUUCCGCUUUCAUCUUCUCCAAUCUCCUGCACUUUCCUAGCCCAGCGCGCACUCGCACCUCUAAUGGCGAAGAGCGAUUCCAGGAAGAGGGCCGAACUGAUGGCCAAGGAGUGGAAAAAAUCUCGCAGCACCACAAAGUCUCUUGGUGACCUCGUCGACAUGGGGCUUCUGCACGACGCAGAGCUCGGCGGCUGGAGGGCGCCGGAAGGGGAGAGCUACCCCGACCCUCGCGCCGGUGAGAUCGUCGUUUUUGAAGACUUCAUCAAGAGAGGCUUUGGUGUUCCUGUUCAUCCCUUUCUACAGGGUCUUCUUUUGUACUAUGAGAUCGGGAUUUGCAAUCUGCACCCGAACUCGAUUCUCCUUAUUUCCACCUUCAUCCAUCUGUGCGAGGCCUAUGUUGGCAUAGAGCCGCACUUUGAUCUUUUCCGGUACCUUUUCUGUCUGAGGAAGAAGGGAGCAGUUGGAGGCUCCAAGGUUGCAGGUGGAGUAUACCUCAACCUUCGUGAUGGGAUGAAGAACCGCUACCUACACUGCCCAUGGAACACCUCUUUGACCGAAUGGUACAGGAGGUGGUUCUACGUCAGGGAGGAACCGGGCAGCUCCACGUUCUGCGACGUGGGGUACGUUCCCGAGAAGAGGGCGAGCUGGAGCGACCGCCCGGAGUACGACGGUCAAGUGGCGGAGCUGAUGAAGCUGAUCGACUGGUCGCGCCUGGACGGGUUUAGCGUGGUCGGCAACUUCAUUUGCCGCCGGGUGAUGCCCUGCCAGAAGAGGGUGCACUCGGCGUAUGAAUAUGCCGGAAGCGCAGACCCGACCAGGAUGCGGUCGGAGAUCCUGGAGAAGGCGGAGGUACAACAGCUGCUGAACGAGCUGUUUAACUUUGCCGAUGGGGGCUUCACCCGUAGCAGUGAUCGGGUGCAAGCCUUCAAACUAGGACGACCAGCACCAAAGGUAUGUAGCAUAGCCCGUUUGAUCAUUCUUAUGUCGUCUGCAGUUGGCUCACCUCUGUUGCUUUUGCAGGUCGGUGAUGUCGACCGGUGCGUAGUGUACGCAUCACUGGCACCGGGGAUGGAAGAUCCUGUGGGAGAGGUCCCGUCGGAAGAAGACCGAGCCCGCCCCGUCCUGACCUCCGAGGAGAGGGUAGCGGGGAAAAGGCCAUUGCCGGCGAAUCCCUUGCCAACGCCGGAGCUGCCGGCAGACCUACCGGCGGAGAGCAGCCAAGCGCCGAAGCGUCGUCGGCUCGUGCGGAUCGUCGACGACGACGAGGACGACGAGGAGGCUGCGCCGUCGCUGGUCCGACGGCCUCGGGACCGCCCAGACGCUGCGCCGGUCGCCACUGAUCGAGUGGCCAGCGACGCGGCUGCCCCGCAAGUUGCCGAGGUGGGGGCACAGGCGCCGACCGGCCGGGCGAGGAGGAGGUUCACCGCGACCCAUCGGCGGUCAGACCUGUAAGUGUUCAACUUACGUAUUUUGGACUCCUCUCUCUUUUUUUUUUUUUUCUUUUUUUUUAACUUUUGUUCCUGUAGUGCGGCAUCGGAUGUCGACCCUGGCCAAACUGCUGGCCAGGGAACGGGCGAGCCUGCCCGCGGUUCUGGGGAUGCGGCCCCCCAGACCACAGAGCAGCCAACAGCUGCAGUCGCGCCUGGGAGCACGGAGGGGCUCCCGAGCGCGGCGCCUACUACAACAAGCAGCCCGACCAGGGCUGGGGAGGCUCCCCCAACUGACUCCUCGGAGAAGGGAAAGUCUCCGACCGCUCCUCCUGCCGGGGGGAGUGAAGUCCCCCUGCCGCCCCGAGCAGGAGCCUCUCCGGCUGCGGGCUCCCCAGGUCUGGUCCAAGGGACGGUGGCGCCUGGGACCACCACCGGGGGUGACGCAGCCCAGGAGGAGGAAACCAGGGCGGCCUCCGACGACGAGGUAGAAGAGAUCGAGGGUCGUCCCCGUGAUGGCCGCCAACACGUGUAUGUGUGGCGCCAACGCGGGGAUCACUUUAUCGGUCAUGAGGAGCUCGCCGAGUCCGAAGAGGCCGCCAGGGUGGAGCGCGCGGCUAAGCGCCUUGUCGACGAAGUCAAGGUAAGCGGCGUUUUGAGCUGCCGCGCGAUCUUUUGCCUUGUCUUCUGCGCAUUCUUAUAUGCUUGCUUUGUAGGACGUUAUGAAAACGGCGAAGUACCGGAAACGGUGCUUUGACCAGAUAGAAGGCGUCAUGGCCGAGAACAAGGCCCUUGCCGCGGAGGUAGACCGGUUGCGGGCGGAGGUCGGAGAGAAGGUGGUCGAGAUGAGCGCCGAAAAGGAGCGUCGUCUCGACCUCUCUCGUCGCCUGGCCGACCAGUACCGGCUGCAGGAAGGUUAGUCACACGCUCCGAGCAGUUUCACAUACUUGUAUAGUUUGCUUUGCUGACCAGUUAAUCGAUUCACGCAGACUUGGAGGAGGAGGUGGCGAGCCUCCAACAAGAGAAGGAGCAGCUCGGCCAACAGCUCGCCAGUGCACAGGAGUCCGGGCGGCGAGCGGAAGAGGAGUUGGGCCGAAAAGACCGGGAGUUAGCUGGUAAUGAGUGCCGCCUUGUUGAUUGCUGCCUGCCCUGUGCUUGUCUGGUAACGUUUCAUUUCGUUUGCAGUGCUCAAGGUGAACACCAAGAAGCACCUGGAUGAGCUGAUCAGGGACCGGGACUCCUGGAAGGCCAACUGUUGCAAGAUCUGGAAGGGAGUGUCCCCGGUCCUGGACCUGAUCAGUCCCGAGCUCCCGGAGAGCCAGCCCCGCGCGCCGCAGUUGACCCCAGUCGAGAAGGCGCAACGGGCGUGGGACUGGCUCCAGCAGUUUGUGAAGGACGCCGGAGAGUUUGCCGGCGCGCACGUCCUCAGCAUGGUGCGCGCCCACUACCCCCUGGUUGACUUGAGCAGGCUGGAGAAGGGGUACCCGAAGGAAGUCGGCCCACAGGAAGCGGACGAACUUCGGGGUAGUCUGCUGGAUUUGUCGUCGACGGUGAUCGGCGACAUCAACCUGUGCGGAACGGCCACUCCUCCAGACCAGCCGAGCUCAGAUAGGUCGGCCAGGGAGUUGUCGGGCGCGUCCGUUGCUGGAGAUGGGCGGUCGACGCCUGCGGUCUCGACCAGCCAGGCGCCGGUGGCCCCGACCCCUUCGUCCGGGCAGCAAGGCCAGGCGGGUGAUCAGCCCGAGCAGCUAGGCCAAUAAAGUAGUCUGUAGGAAUAGACUAGUAUCUGCCCGUCAGGGUGUUUAUUGUAAACUUUGUAUGUAAAGUUUGUAAUAAAGUUUUCUUUUUUGUCAUGACUGUUGUUUUGAGCGCUGUAAGAAUGUCUGAGUGACGUGUCACCGUAUUUGUCUUGGUUGUCGCCAAGAGCAUCCAUUGCAGGAGUUUUGCUGGGUGCUGCGUACGACAAGGUAUAGGCGAGAAAUAUAGAAUCUUAUUAUCAAAAAUUAUAAGAUACUUACAAAAGAAAGCCAUUAAAACGUUAUGGAUAGAAUCGUCGCAGUUUGUCGAUGUGCCAAGAGUUAGGCACUCGUGUUCCGUCUGGGUAUGCCAAUCUGUAGGACGUAGGUCGUGUGACCUUGGUCACCACGAAGGGUCCUUCCCAGGGAGUGGAUAACUUGUGCAUUCCCUCCUGGUUCGUUUUCCAUCGAAGCACCAGAUCGCCGACCACAAAGGAACGGUCCUUGACGUUCCUGUUGUAGUAUCGCCUGACUGCCGCGAGAUAUUUUGCUGUUCGGAGACAUGAAACUAAACGAUUUUCCUCCAUGCAAUUGACUUCGAGUUCCCUGGCGUUGUCGGCAGUCGCCUCGUCGUAGUGCUCGAUUCUAGGAGAUCUGAAGUGUAUGUCGGCCGGCAGGACCGCCUCUGCACCGUAUACCAUGAAGUAGGGAGACACCCCUGUGUUUCGACUGGUCUGGGUUCGGAGGCCCCAGACUACUGCCGGCAAUUCUCUCAUCCAUCGACCGGGUGCUCUGUCGUUUUCGGUGUACAGCCUCUUCUUUAGGGCAUCAACGAUCAUUCCAUUAGCACGUUCGACUUGACCGUUAGCACGUGGGUGUGCUACUGACACAUAUUUUAUGACUAUGCCUCUGUCAUCGCAGAAAUCCCAAAAAGUGGUGCCAGUAAACUGAGUGCCCAGGUCGGUGAUUAUGCUGUUCGGGAUGCCGAAUCUGUGUAUGAUUUGAUUGAGAAACUCCACGGCCUUCUCGGAGGUUGCCUUGACCAAGGGCAUGUAUUCGAUCCACUUGGAGAACUUGUCGAUUAGCACGAAGACAAACUUGAAGUUGCCCGGGGCUGGUUUAAAUGGUCCGAUCAUGUCAAGCCCCCAGCAAGCAAAGGGCCAAGACGACGGGAUAGUCUGAAUUUCAUGGGCGGGUACGUGGGUCCUCUUAGCGAAAAACUGACAUCCUUCGCAAUGCCGAACCAGUUUUUCUGCGUCGCCGACCGCGGUUGGCCAAUAAAAACCUGCUCGGAAAGCCUUUCCGACCAGCGUUCUAGAUGCGGCGUGGUUGCCGCAGGAUCCAGCGUGUAUGUCUUCCAAGAGCUUGAUACCAUCAUCUUGGGGUAUGCACUUGAGCAGUACUUCGGAGCUUGCGUUUUUCCGCAUGAGUUUUCCGUCGACCAGGAUGUAGUUCUUUGACCGUCGGAUGAGGCGCUCGUUCUCUGUUUUGUCCUGAUAGCCUGUUCCGUCUGAUAUGUAUUUGAUGAACGGGGUGCGCCAGUCACGCCCACCGGUUGCCGGAGUGGCGUCAUCUAUGAGCAUUGCCUCGGUGGGUUGCUUGUCGACCAGGGGAGGGCUUACGCUUGGCUCAUGGAUGUCCUGGACAAAAAUACCCCGCGGGAUCUGGGCCCGAGAUGAGCCUAACUUUGACAACGCAUCUGCUGCUUGGUUCUUGUCCCGGACCACGUGGAUGUACUCUAUGCCAUAGAAGUGAGUUUCCCAUUUGCGAAUUUCUUUGCAGUAGAGAUCCAUCUUCUCGUGGGUUGCGUCCCACUCCUUGUUGAGCUGGUUGAUGACCAAGGCAGAGUCGCCGUAGACAUAGAGGCGCUUGACCCCCAGUUCAACGGCUAGUCGUAUGCCGUGUAAGCAUGCUUCGUAUUCGGCGACGUUGUUUGACGCCGGGAAAAGGAUCCUAAGGACGUAGCGGAGUUUGUCCUUGUUGGGUGAUACGAACAGUAUCCCAGCGCCUGCACCGUUGAUGUUCAAGGACCCAUCGAAGAACAUAGACCAGUGGUCUGAGACAUCGGGAACGGAAGGUUCGUUGAGAUCCGUCCAUUCGGCAAUGAAAUCGACCAGGGCUUGGGACUUGACAGUGGUGCGACUCUGGAACUCCAGGGAAAAUGGACAUAACUCCAUUGCCCAUUUCACGAUUCUGCCAUUGGCGUCUUUAUUGCGCAGGAUGUCACCGAGAGGAAAGCUGGUUGUCACCAGGACUCGAUGGCCGUCGAAGUAAUGCUUCAGUUUUCUUGACGUUAUCAGGAUGGCGUAUAUAAGCUUCUGUAUUUGUGGGUACCUGGCCUUGGAUUCGUUUAAAACUUCGCUUAUGAAGUAAACGGGUCUCUGGACCUUGAAGACGUGACCUGGUUCAUCUCGCUCGACCACUAUUGCCGUGGAAACAACCCUGUCGGUUGCAGCAAUGUAAAGGAGCAGGUCUUCAUUAGGCUGAGGCGCUGUGAGGACAGGCGGUGAAGUGAGGAAGAUCUUAAGCUGAGUGAACGCGGCGUUGGCUUCUUCGGUCCAGGAGAAUUUUUCUGACGCUUUCAAUAGUUUGAAGAAAGGGAGGCCUUUUUCUCCCAGCCUUGAAAUGAAACGGCUGAGGGCGGCCAUGCAUCCGGUUAGCUUCUGAAUGUCCUUGACGUUCUUCGGUGGUCGCAUGUCGAGUACGGCUUUGACUUUUGAAGGGUUUGGUCGUAUGCCGUCGCGACUGACGACGUUGCCGAGCAGUAGACCGGAAGGAACGCCGAAAAUGCAUUUCUUGGGGUUGAGCUUCCACUUGUACCUAUUGAGUGCCUUGAAGGUUCGGUCUAAGUUGUCGAUCAGGGUGCUCGCGUCCCUUGUUUUUACGACCACGUCGUCCACGUAGGCCUCGACGAGGUCAUCGCGAAUCUCGUCGUGGAGGCAUUGCUGGAUGGCCCUUUGAUAAGUGGCCCCGGCGUUUUUAAGUCCGAAAGACAUGGUAGUGUAACAAUAUGCGCCGAAGGGUGUGAUGAAGGAUGUUUUGAUCUGAUCUUCUUCCUUUAACGAGAUCUGGUGAUAACCAGAGUAGCAAUCUAGAAAGGAGAGGAGUUCGCAUCCGGCCGUUGAGUCGACCACCUCGUCGAUGCGAGGAAGACCAAAAGGAUCUUUAGGACAGUGCUUGUUGAGAUCGGUGUAAUCAACGCACAUUCUCCAUUCAUUAUUCUUUUUGCGUACAAGAACCGGAUUGGCGAGCCAAUCGGGAUGAUACACCUCUUUUAUGAAUCCGGCUGCUAGAAGCCGUGUUAUCUCUGUCCUAAUAGCCUCCUUUUUGUCACGAGCGAACCGUCGUAGUUUUUGCUUGAUUGGUCUUGCGGUCUUCGAGACGUUUAAGGAGUGCUCGAUCAGGUUUCGUGGGACACCGGGCAUGUCUGCGGGUUUCCAUGCGAAAACGCUCACGUUGUCCUUUAGAAACCUGACGAGCGCGUCUUCCUAUUUUGGAUCCAGGUUAGCCCCGAUGAGGGCUGUCUUCUCGGGGUUACCUUCGACCAGCUGCACUUCUUUGUACUCCUUGGAUUUCGAAUUCUUUCUGGCUGUCUCUUGCUCGGGUAAUCGGAGCUGGUCGGGGGGCAGCUGUGCGGCUUGGGUUGCUGUUUCCGCCAUGCGGAUUGAGAGGUCAAUUGCCUCGGUGAUCUUGAAACUUUCUUCUUCACAGGUGUACGCAGUAUAGACGUUGCCUCUGACGGUCAGGACGCCCUUCUCCGUGGGCAUCUUAAGCACCAGGUAUGAGUAGUGCGGGACUGCCAUGAACUUUGUCAGUGAUGGGCGGCCCAGUAUGGCGUGGUAGGUCCCGUCGAAGUCCGCGACUACGAAGUUGAUGAACUCCGUCCGGAAGUGAUCGGGUGUGCCGAAUUGGACAGGCAAUGUUAUCUGUCCGAGGGGCACCGAACUUUGACCUGGCAAAACCCCCCAGAAUUGGGCGUCGUAAGGUUUUAGUUGCGCCGGUGAUAUCUUGAGGGCGGGCAGGCUGUUGCGGAAGAGGAUGUCGAUGGAGCUUCCCCCGUCCACGAGCACGCGCUCGAAUCUGAUGCUAUUGAUGCAGGGAUCAAGAAUCAGUGGGAAACGACCCGGCUCUGGGAUAGUGGCCCACUGGUCCUUCCUGCUGAACGCGAUCUCCCUGUGGGACCAGGCGGGAAAUUUCGGAUCUGCGAUCAGCCCGUCCGUGCUGUCUAUGUUGAGGCAGGCUCUCUUUAACAGUUUUCUUUCUCGCUUGGACUCAGUGGAGACCUUGCCCCCGAAAAUGGAGUGAACCACGUCGGUAGGGCUGACAUAUUGGUGUCGGGGGUCCCUGUCUUGGUCCUCAUCCUCAUCUUCGUGGUCGUGCCCGUCGCGUUUGCUGCUUUUCUUGGCGGUGUCUUCUUGGGCGGCCCGCCGUGUAUAGAUACUUUUGAGGACGCGGCACUCUUCCAUGGUAUGGUUAGACUUCGGGUGUAGCUGGCACGGUCCCUUCAACGUUUUGUUGUAGUCGUCUUGGUAGUCCCGUCGUCCAUUGGGACGUUUGACCGUGUUUACUUCGUGGUCGUACUCGCGAGGGCGCUUUCCUCUGAAGUCGUCGCGGCUGUCGCGCCGCCGAUCCCAACCCUCUCGGUGAUCGCGGUUGUCGGAGCGGCGAUGAUUUCUGUUGUCGUAGCGACCACGACCGUCGUCUCGCCGGGAGGGCUGGUCGGUGCCUCUCGCAUCGUCUCGGAUUAGUUUUUCUGCGUCAUCAGCAUCGGCGUAAUUUUUAGCCGUGGCGAGGAGCUCUGCUACCGUUGAUGGGCGCUUACGCAAUAGCUUGUUCCUCAGCGCUUCAUGGAAACGCAAACCCUUGAUAAAGGCUGAUAUGGCCUCGUCAUGAGAAAUCCUCGGGAUUUUGAGACGCAUAUCCGAGAAUCGUCGGAUGUAAUCGCGCAGAGGUUCAUUCUUCCUGUCUCUUAUCCUUUCAAGGUCAUACUUGUUUCCGGGCUGCUCGCAUGUGGCGAUGAAGUUGUCGAUGAAAGCCUGACGUAGCUCCUCCCAAGAGUCGAAGGAGUCCUCGGGCAAGCCGAGAAGCCACUGAUGACCAGCCUGGUCGAGGACUACGGGGAAGUAAUUAGCCAUGACGUGCUCAUCUCCUGCCGCUGAUCGGACGGCGAUUUCGUAGAGAGUGAUCCAGUUCUCUGGAUUUUCCUUGCCGUCGUAUUUUUUAAGUUUUUCGAGCUUGAAAUUGCGGGGCCACACGACUUGGCGGAGGUGUGAAGAGAACUGCCUUAGGCCCGGAGGACCGUGGGUCGCGUCGUACUCGAUGCGGCGCAGGUUCUCAUGGACUGCUCUUUCUGCGGCGCGCCUGUUGAUGCGGUCCCGGGCAUCUUUGGGGGGGAUGUUGUGGCGGAGAUCCCUGUGUUGAUCUUCUUCUUCUUGGCCGCGUACGCGGUCCUGCUGGCGGCGGCCAUCGGCGUCCCGACCACCAUCAUCGCGCCGUGAGUCCCCUCGACGGUUGUCGGGGGAGCGGCUGCGGCGACGCCUGCUGGGUGAGGCCCGGCUACGAUGAGUCUGGUCGGAGGCGGCUUCCGUAUAAGAGGCGUCCUGGACUCUCUUGAGCAGAGCGGCUGUCUGUCCCAUUGCGGCGAUCAGGUGUGCUCGGAUACUGGUCCGGACUCCCUGGCAUUCGGGGGUGUCAGGAAGCCGAUCCAGAUUGGCCAUGGCGACAGCCACGUUGGCGCUUGGCGUUUUGUAGACCGGCUGGUCCCCGACCAUGUCGAAGGCAUCGUUGAGGUUGCCUGGCGGCGUCUGUUGUUGCUCGUCUGCACGCCGUCGGGCGCGCUCGGCGUUACGCUGUUCACGGAGUUGCCUCUGGUCGUCUGUUUCUCCGUCAACGGCUGGUUCGUCGGCGCUGACAUUGAAUACAAUAUCCCCUCGCCGGGGGGGGAAUAUCGGGAAUCGGUCGAAACCCGGAGGGUGUGAAGGAAAAUCCAGGUCAUAGUCCUCGUCUUCGGUGUUCACAACCUCGGUGGGGACGGAGCCGGUGCUUGAGUUGGUGCUGGAAACCUGGCCGUCCCGUAGCUCUCGGAUGGUCACCAUGUUGACAUGGUGGCGAUUGUUCCUUGUCGGCGACCAGCCCGCUUUGCUGAAAACGGAUUGGACAUGCCGUGAAUAAACAGAGGCCGAGUUGUUCAGGCCGCAAGGAUAGUCUUCCUUUUUGAGCUCGACGGAUCGUCCUGAGGGGGUUGAGGUUAUCGUCAGGGAUGUUCCCAGCCGUUCGUGUGUGGUGACACGAGUUGGCCGGCGGAAUUUCGAAGAAUCCGCUCGAGCGGCUUGGUCGGGCCGGCGCAGAACUCCAUCUAUUAGUUGGGAGACUUCGAAUAGCUUGGAGUCAGCGCGAUCGAGCGCUUGGAGGAGGUCCGAGCAGUCGAUCUCCCUUCCCUUGUAGAGCGGGAGCGGUGGUCGGGAGCUUGGUGUCGUCACGCGCGUGGUCGGAGACGACGUGAUCUCAGAUUGGAUCUGGAUCUCUUUCGGAACCGUGGUCGCGAAACCGCCGCUGCGCGUCGUCCACGUGAUUUGGCCGACGGUGAACGUGAGGCCUUCGGGCACGGUCGCGGAAGCUGGGAUCGUGACCAUCUUGUUCGCCGGAAAAGUUGCACGCACACCCCCUACCUGGCGCGCCACUGUCGACGAAAGCUGGUCGGCAGUCUACCUUGGGGUAUACCCACGGUAGUAGUUUAUCGGUAGACGGUGCGCAAACUACGAACUCGAUGGUGACGCAAGACACGGACAAGCUUUUUAUCCAGGUUCGGCCGCCGAGUUGGCGUAAUACCUACGUCCUGCGUCUGGUUGUAUUGGAUUGUGUUGAGAGAUUACGAUGUCCUAGGGGGGUCCCUUGUCCCUCCUUAUAUAGUCCGGAGGGCAGGGUUACAGAUCUGGAAACUAAUCCUAGUCGGUUACAAUUGCCAUAGAUAGUUCGAUAUCAAUUCCUAUUCUAACCGACUAGAAUUCUGUUUGAUCUCCACAUCUUGCUUCCUUGUGCGAGACUCCAGGCUGUCGGAUCAAGCCUUAAACUCGUCUCGUAAUGGGCCAAGCCUCCUGGCCCAAGUCUAGCCGUAAGGGUAUAGGGGUCUAUCCCCCCACAUGAGGGUAUAGGGAUUUAUACCCCCACAGUUAUUCUUGAACAACAAAGAAACUACAACGACAUUUGUUUUUCCAUUGUCAUGUUGUAAGAUUUAUUUUGAAGAUUGUUCAAAUUGUAUUUGGUUUAUAGCAGCCGAAUAUGUCAGCCGUUCAACAGUGUUUUUCUCUUAUAUUGUUUGUUAGUUUCUCUUAGGCAUUGGGCUCAACAACUAAUUUGCCUAAUGGAUUAAUUAUUGGUCCAUUCUUAGGCCUUGUUUAGUUCCUAGAAAAUUUUGCAAAAUUUUUCAGAUUCUCCGUCACAUCGAAUCUUUAGACGUAUGCAUGGAGUAUUAAAUAUAGACGAAAAGAAAAACUAAUUGCACAGUUUGGUCGGAAUUGACGAGACGAAUCUUUUGAGUCCAGUUAGUCCAUGAUUGGACAAUAUUUGUCAAAUACAAACGAAAGUGCUACAACGUCAAUUUUCUAAAAAAAUUUGAAACUAAACAAGGCCAGAAAAAGAGCACAACAAAACCAUAAUAAAGAGGACAUAUCGCUCGUUGGAGACAACGAUAAUGGGGAUCUUCAUUUCUAAUAGACUUAGUUUGUAGUGUAGCCUUAAGUUUGAGUUUGCCUCAAAUUUUACAUGGUUUAGUGGGUGAAGCUAUAGCUUCACGGGGAAUUUUGAUAAAUUUUGUAGAGUAAACAAGGCCUCAGUGGGUGAAUGAUGAACAAUUGAACACCAUCCAUUCAAAAACACAGUAGCAAGCUGGCCGGGACCGGAUGUCGCGGCGGAAUGUAAAUAUCUAAAUAAAAUAUAGAUUCUACCGACGAUCAAAAGAGAGAGAGGAAGAGGGUGACGAGCAGAGCGACAAGAAAGGACGGGACAAAAUAAAAGGCGAGCAUGUGACUCGGCAGUGCCCCGCAAGCUUUUAACCUCUUCUCCCGCUUUUCUUAUAUUCCCCCCAUCAUUCCGUUCUUUAUUACCACUGUGCUGGCAGCAUUACGUUACAGUAUCAGCAAGCGUAGAUAGUCGUGCUGACAGUAGUACGUCCUCGGUUUCGUAGACUAACUAGUUUCAUGACAAACAUGCGUCCUGUACUCUCCUGUCAUUAGCAGUGUCGUUAGGUAGGGUGGAUGUGCUGGAUGAUGACAACCAGAACGAACACUGGAAAAGCUUAUGCUAACAGGCAGGCAGAUGAGUUGUUUAUCCUCGCUAAACACGCACAACUGCCGGUGAUAUGUAGCACUCCUAGUACUGCUAGUAUAAUGCCAGCAAAUUCGACACUGCAUGUAGCAGUAAUACAUUAUGCUUUCCGAUGAGCAAGCAAAGCAUCUGCGGCCGUCUUUUCUGAACAUGACUAUCCACGCAGCCAAGUUGAUUUUUUUUUACACUUUCUCUGUAAAAAAGUACUCGUAUCAAAUUGCAUGACAUGUAAUGUGUUCGUUCAUCCAUCCGCACAAAAGAUUCUUCUUGGGAGGUAGUAGGAGAUCAGCAAGAGGAUUUCCUCCCUUUUUCUGAAAAUGCACACACCUUUUCCAUAAAAUCUAGGGGAACAAAUAAAAGGACGAAAAGGAUGGAGGGGAGGAGGUAGCUGCUAGGCAUGCGCGCCCGUGGCAGGUCAGGCCGGGUCGGGGGGAAAAGCGCUUGGCGGUUUGCAGCGGCGUGGAGUGGGUGGGCAUCAGCGGCGUCAGCAGCGGACAGCGGCCGCGGCAGCGGCAGGAGCAUGGUGCUGGAUUGAUAGGUGGGGAAGGGGAGGGAGGAGUGGCAGGGGCAGGCACAGCGAGCACAGGCUGCUGCCCUGCCCCUGCUCGUUGGCGUUUCUCUCCCCCCCUGCGUGCCCCCACUGUCCACACCCCACCAUCUUCCUCUGCGGAGCUCGCGUGAACCCCCCCUCGGCCCCCUCGCUUUCGCGCUGCGUCCGCGGUGGCAUCAUUGGGUAUCUGGACUGGACGAGGUCCGUCCGAUAGAGAGUGCCUUCUUCUUGGCUGCCGAUUUCGCGAGCGCUGCUGCCGCUGCUUCUUCUUCUUCCUCCCUGCUGCGGCGGCGGAAUUGUGCUUUGGAGCUGUGGAGUGGUGACUGGUCUGCAACUCCUCUUCUACGGCUCUGUGCUGGAUUGAAUCUGCGGGGUUGCGGCGAUGCGGGCGCGGGGGCCCCGGAUGUGGAUGAGGUGGUGGUGGGUGGCGGUCGCUGCUCUGCUCGCCGUGAUCCUGCCGCCGUCCAACGCCACGCUCUCCCCUGCCGGCAUCAACUACGAAGGUACCUACCCUGCUCUCCUCCUCAUUUCCCAAGUCUUAACAAAAUGCCCAACUUCUUGUUUGGGAAGGAAAAAGACACAUGCCGAGCAUUUUCUAUCAGGCAACAGCCGCAACACAGUUUUUUUUUGGCUGAAAUUUCUUGAAAAAUCCUCCCUCCUCCCCCCGAUCAAUCGCUGGUUUCAAAGACGAUGUAAAAGAUCCACUAUGAACAAGAACAUUAAAUGAAAUGUACCUGAUGUGCUGGUGCCUCCACAUCACUCAUCAUGUCUGUCGAGUUUUAGCUGUUUCUUGGCAUCACAAAUUUGGUGACGCUGAACCUUGCCUUGCCUGUGGCUGAAACGCAGUGGUGGCUCUGAUGGCCAUCAAGACGGAGCUGGAGGACCCCUACAACGUGCUCGACAACUGGGACAUCAACUCCGUCGACCCCUGCAGCUGGAGGAUGGUCACCUGCUCCUCCGACGGCUACGUCUCCGCCUUGUACGUUAGCUCCCUCGUUCAUGCCCGUUCUGAAGAGCACCAGCAGUUGCUGCUUUCGGUCGGUCUUCUCACAUGCGCUCCUUCGUUUGCAGAGGAUUGCCUAGCCAGAGCUUGUCCGGCAAGUUAUCACCCGGCAUCGGCAACCUCACCAGGCUGCAAUCUGUGUAAGUUUACUCGCCCCCCUAUUGUUUACCCAUAGCACUUCAAAAUUCAAACUUAAGGUUUUCUGAGUGCUCCAAUCUGGUUGAAUGAAUCAAGUGCUUUGUUAUGCUGAUCGACAGGCUGUUACAGAACAAUGCGAUUUCUGGUCCUAUUCCGGGUACGAUUGGAAAGCUGGGGAUGCUUAAGACUCUUGACAUGUCAGAUAACCAACUCACGGGGAGUAUCCCAAGUUCGCUUGGAAAUCUCAAGAACCUCAAUUAUUUGUAAGAUCCUUACCUCAAUGUUGAUUUUCAGCACUCCCGCUGAUGACAGUGAUUUUGUCUUGGCUCAUUUCUAGCUCUCUUAUUGCAACCAGGAAGUUGAACAAUAAUAGCUUGUCUGGAGUUCUGCCUGAUUCACUUGCCAGCAUUGAUGGUUUUGCACUCGUGUAUGCUCUGCAAUAGUGCAAUCACAUUUUAUUGUUUGUUUUUCUCUUUCCCUAUUCCAGUACUGAUUCACUUGAGUUGGCUUCUGUUAUAGAGAUCUUUCGUUUAACAAUCUCAGUGGUCCAUUACCCAAGAUUUCCGCAAGAACCUUUAUGUAAGUAAUUUUAAUUUUGUUCCUUUUCAUGGCUGAAAUGAUUUCUGCCUGAACACUACAUGCCAGGAUUACUGUUUGCAUAGUCAUGCGUUGAUUUUAUUGUUUGUUCAUACAGCAUAGCUGGAAAUCCAAUGAUUUGUGGUAAUAAAUCUGGAGGUAACUGCUCUUCUGUGUCACUUGACCCACUCUCUUACCCACCAGAUGAUCUGAAAAGUAAGAUCUCUUUCCACUGUUAAAAUUUGGGAAGGCAUAACAGAAGAAAAUAAAUACCUUUUUGUCUGGGUGGCACUCACAUAUGUCUCCUUUCCUCAGCUCAGCCACAACAAGGCAUUGGAAAGAGUCAUCAUAUUGCUACAAUAUGUGGAGCAACUGUUGGUUCAGUAGCUUUUGCCGCUGUUGUAGUUGGUAUGCUUCUUUGGUGGCGUCAUAGGCGAAAUCAGCAGAUCUUUUUUGAUGUUAAUGGUAAUAUUCUUUUUUAUUCUGUUCCUGUGUGACUGUGAUCAUGAUAACAGCCACCUAUAUCUAGAUGUAAGUCACAUUAGAUUAGCUUCUUUUUCGCAGCAACCGCUAGUACUUUAAGAUCUUAGAGCUUUCACCUUCUGGUCAGUCCCACAGUAAAUUUACAUGAAUGCAAGUGUUGUUAGUCAAUUUGAACCACAAGAGUUUCAGUAAACUGAAUAGCUGAGUUGUUUCCCCAAUGGCACUCGAGACUUGAGAGUUUUCGUUUGCAGCCAUGUGGCAUUAAUGAGGAGUUUCAAAAUCACUCAGAAAUUUGAACAUUAAAUAUAUGCACCUUGUAACAUUAGUUGUGUGUGCUAGUAACUUAUUACCAUCGACAUUAGGAGUAUACAGCAUAAAACUUAUGUUGCUUUUUAGUUUUUACUUGUAUGAUCUCCCAGUUACUUUUGGACUUUGGCGUGUGGGCUAUUUCACAAUCAUGAUCUCCUAGUUACUUUAUGUACUCUUUCUAACCUUUUAAUGAUCAUGAGGUAUUUUUAUCUUACCCUUCUAGACUCGCUUUGAUCUUUUUAGCAUUCUACAGUGUUUGUCCUUCUCUAGCAUGCUACAUUGUCUGUCUUUACAGCAGCAUGGUAAUUGAACCUGAUACAUUCUUCAAUGCGCAGAUCAAUAUGAUCCAGAAGUUUGUUUGGGUCAUCUGAAGCGAUAUGCUUUCAAGGAGCUCCGCGCAUCUACUAAUAAUUUUAACUCAAAGAACAUCUUAGGUGAAGGUGGAUAUGGCAUAGUAUACAAGGGUUAUUUGCGUGAUGGCUCUGUCGUUGCUGUGAAAAGGCUGAAGGAUUAUAAUGCCGUUGGUGGGGAAGUUCAAUUCCAAACUGAAGUUGAAGUCAUAAGCUUGGCUGUUCAUCGGAAUCUCCUCCGUCUUAUUGGAUUCUGCACUACAGAGAGUGAGAGAUUACUUGUUUAUCCAUACAUGCCAAAUGGAAGUGUUGCUUCUCAAUUGCGGGGUUAGUCGCUCUUCUUGCUCAUGACUUCCAUGUGCAUAUGCUGUUGCAAGCUGGAGAAAAUGUAUUUUCAUCACGCGGGGGGGGGGGGGGGGGGGGGGGGGGGGGGGCUAAAAAAAACACUUAAAAAUGCCCGCUGAGAAAAACUUGAGUGGUAAAAUUGCUAUCAAAGCUGUAUGAGUAUUUUGAAUUUGUAAAUGUUUUAACACUUUUGCAUAACUGUUAAAUAAGUCCCCUCUAUCUAACACGAAAUAAUUACCCAAUUUCUGGAUGCAUCAUAGUUGAUGUGAAACGUGUCGGCUUUCCAAUAUUUGCUUAGUGUUGCUGCAUACUGCAUAGAGUAUUACAAAAUAAAGUUUUGGACACCUUAUGCUUUCUAUAAACAGGCAAGCUAGCAUGAUUUCUAUUGUUGUGUUGCAGCUGGCCUUGCAUCUACUUAUCACAGAUAGUCACCACGUGCUCUAUUUACUGCUGAAAUCAUAAUAAGCAAAUGUGGUUUGUGCACGGUGUAAUGUGAUAAAUUAUAUGUAUCAUAUGGAUAUUACAGUCUAAAAAUGUAUUACCCUAAUAUAUACAAUGAUCUGAAUACCCUGUCACUUUUUCUUCGAACAGACAGGUAGCUUGUCUUUGCCAUGCCCUUCCAUUAAAGGUAUAAGGUGCCAUUGACUGUUGAAUUAUGUUGAUCAAAUUAAACCCUACUCAUGUUCCUCUGUGGAGCUCUGCAAUAGUGUUAUAUGUCCAUGCGUAUUAUUGCUUUCAAGACCAGUUUUGGACUAUGAACUGAAGCUACCAAACCAAUCUCUAGCUAUCUUCAACUCAAGGCAUGUGGUAUUAGGUUAAUCGAUAACCACAAACACCAUACGAGCCUCGUCCACGUGUAUUGUCCACUAUGUAUGCAAAUUAACUUUCUUUCAUUUUAUUCAGAACAUAUUAAUGGAAAACCAGCUCUAGACUGGUCAAGGAGAAAGAGGAUAGCACUAGGCACAGCACGGGGUCUACUCUACCUUCAUGAGCAAUGCGAUCCAAAAAUAAUCCAUCGAGACGUAAAAGCCUCCAAUGUGCUUCUUGAUGAAUAUUUUGAAGCAAUUGUGGGAGAUUUUGGAUUGGCAAAACUCUUGGAUCACAGGGAGUCUCAUGUUACAACUGCAGUGCGUGGGACUGUCGGACAUAUAGCACCAGAGUAUCUGUCAACUGGCCAGUCAUCAGAGAAGACUGAUGUGUUUGGAUUUGGGGUUCUGUUAGUUGAGUUGAUCACUGGUCAGAAGGCGUUGGAUUUUGGAAGAGUAGCGAAUCAGAAGGGCGGAGUGCUCGACUGGGUAAGCAUGAAUCUUGUGUUUACUUAUUCAAUUUCAAAUUUGCUUUCAAACUUUAAAUGAAAAAGGUCUUUUUCCUUUAUUAUACCUUGUUUUGCUCUGCCCUUCAGUUCAAUCUCUUGAGAGUUUUCUUUUUUUUUAAAAAAAAGAGCAACCCUUUGUAUUGUCAUGAACAUUUUCUCUUUGUCUGGUUCCAGGUUAAGAAACUUCAUCAAGAAAAGCAGCUAAACAUGAUGGUGGACAAAGACUUGGGUAGCAACUACGAUAGGGUUGAGUUGGAGGAAAUGGUUCAGGUGGCUUUGCUAUGCACACAAUACCAUCCAUCUCACCGACCCAGAAUGUCUGAGGUAAUCAGGAUGCUGGAAGGUGAUGGGCUCGCAGAGAAAUGGGAAGCGUCGCAGAACGUGGACACACCAAAGUCCGUCUCAUCGGAGAUCCUACCUCCAAAGUACAUGGAUUUCGCUGCGGAUGAAUCCUCACUUGGCCUAGAAGCCAUGGAGCUCUCCGGGCCAAGAUGACCAUCCAAUCGACCAGAUCGGUCGCCGCAGAGAUGCAUAGAUGUUUUGCCAUAUAAAGCCUAUUGUUGUAUUACAUGGGAGUUGGUUAGGUGUAGUCGUGUAGAGCCCCCCAACACAAGGGAAGGCGAAAAAUUUUCCGGUGGACUGUAGGGUGUGAUCUGUCUGUCUAUAGCUGUGGUGGCAUUCAUUUUGUACAUACAGCAGCAUUGUGUGAGGUGAGCCCAUCCUUGUUGCGCAUCUACUUGGUGGCAAAGAGAUGAGAUGAAUGAGUAUAGAUAGAAAUCAAAGGUUCCCGUGCGGUGCAGAGCAGUUGGUGCCUGUUUGUGUUUUUUUGCUUGCUGAAGGUGUGUGCCGUGCAGUUGACAUGCGUCAAUUUGUUUGACGCGUCAGUUCAUCAGCUUGUAACAGGGAUCCGUUGCAUCUGUUUGGCGCGUCAGUUCAUCAGCGGAGAAGUUUCCAUUGCUUACUGUCACGGGUUUUAAAACCAGGCUUGUUUAGCUGCGCCUAAUUCACCUUUUUCCGCGCACACAUUUCUCAUCAAGAGCUUGUUUGGCUGCAAUUCAGUCAACACCAUUGCGCAUUGAUUGGAAGCCUCCCAACCAACACGUGAUUUUAGUGCGGCCAAACAAACCACAGUGAAAAAUGUGUUAGUUGACCAAAGAGGUCUAAACUGAUCAUUUGAAUUCGAGCAGAGCGUGCAAUGCAAGCAGGCUGACAAUUCUGGAUACUGCAACAGAGCCUUGCUUCUAGCUUGCAUUUCUAAGUUGUUUCCCUGAAAUCAUAAGUGAACGUGUCCAAUUGAAUGACCAAACGUUAGUGCUCUGAACAGUCAAAUACUAAUUAAAUUGAAUCCUACUCUAGCAUUAUCGUCAGGGUGGAAUGCACAUUAUUAGAUCGGCCGAUCAGAUCCUAUGAGAAAAGUAACAUCUGUCUAAAGGGAACACCAUAAGUAAAUGCUCCAUUCUUCGAUCAUUCUUUUUUAUUCAUAAACCUCAAAGGUAAAAAAAAUCCAUUAUUCAUUGGUGCCGAACUGCAGAAGCCGCUACUAGUACAAAACAAAAUAUUUCAUACACCAAAAAGAGCAUACAUGAGUUGGCAAUCAGUGCUAUGGUUACUCCUGUGGUUUUGGUUGGCUGAUAAAAAUUUCAGCGGCGCAGGAGCGGGAUGAAGCAGAAGAGAAGGAAAAGGCCGAUGUGAAACUCAAUCAAGCAGUGCAAAGACUGGCUUGUGGAGGUCAGAGUGUUCUCAACGCCUUGAUCCAAUCAACCUCAAGCCUAAAAUCACCAGGCCCAGUCUUGGCACCAGGAACACCGCCUUCUGCGUUUACAGAGAGAGACAUCCCCACGAUUCGAGCAGGGUUCAUUUCCAACUUUGCCUCAAUCACAUUUCCUCUCCAUGUGGGUAAAUAGCGAUCAAGAGGGAUCUGUAUGGAAUGGGAACAGGUUCUUCAUCAUAAAAAAAAUCACAUAUUUCGAAUUUUGAAUAAUAGCAAGUGAUAAUUUACCUUCAAGACUUGCCAUCUGUCCUGGGAUAUGUACACAAAAGCCUGCCAUGAGUUGUCUUCUUGUUGUCCGGGUGAAUUCACCCAAUUCUCCGUGUAUAUCUGUACUUAAAAUUUCAGAUUCUGCAGAACAAUAUGACUGGACAUCAUAUAUUCAAAAGCAUCUCUUGUGUGGGAAAACAUACGGUAGAUAUGUAGCAUCUUCCAUCCCCUUUGAUCUUCAUUGCUAUUGUAUCAUAUGCAUCAAGGUCAAUGAAACCAUCAAACUGAAAUAGCAGAAAGGAAUUUUUCUAAUCAGCACUCAGAUUAACUUCUGCUUAAGCACCUAUAUUUGUUAUUUUAGUAGAGUUAGAAGGUAGUCUUAAGUAAUCAUCAUUUAUUGAAUCCUAAGACGCUUGAUAUGACUUCACUGACCUCGAGAGAACAAAACAGUUUGAUCUAAAGCCCUAGGAUGUUCACACCUCUUAAGCCUAGAUAGGGUAUGCUUAGCACUUGGAUUGGCAUUUCAAAGAACUUCUAUUUUGUUAUAUCUGGUUAGUAGUUGACAACCAUUUUUCAAGAGCUACCACAUAAAUAUUUUACCAUCACUGGUGACAACAUUUGUGCAUCUAAGGAUAGCACAACAUUGCUGAAAUCGGAUAAACAUUAUGGAAGUAACCAGGUUGGUACCACAGUGUCGCCCUAAACAGGAAAUGUACCUUCUUUGAUCGCAUCCCACAGAAUCCAUAGCGCCUGAUCCUCCAUGUUGAUUCCUCGGACAUAUCCAAAGAAAGAUUACCAGAAAACACACCUUCCAGAAUCCACAUGUCCAAAAAAAAAAAGUGACCUUACAAACCAGUCUAAGAAAAUUAUAAGUUAAAAAAAACACCUGCAUGUUUCAAUUCAAUUAUUAAAUAAAAUACAGCAGCUGGCAUCCACUAAUAAUUUGGAUUCAGUUCAGACAUUUUCCAAGAAAACCACUAAAACAAAUUUCAAGGUUAAUGAGGUUUAUUAUACUAAACGAAAGAAGCUACAAAUAUAUUAUUUGUUUUUUCUUGUACCAGAAAGUACUCAAUUUGAACUAAACUUCAAAUGAUUGGCACAAGCUGGAAAAGUUACAAUUCUUACCAGUUAAUGGAGUAUCUCCACCUGAAGUGCCAUCAGUUAUUUCCAAGGAUGCAGAAGACAAACCUGGAUAACAAUUUUGUCCUAUUAUAUUCUAUCAUAGAUGUAAAUAAGAAGCUAGGUACUUGCAGCAAAGCUGAAAAAUGUCCUUAAAAGAUAUAAGAAUUUAAUACACAUGUAGGGUAUUAUCAGUUGUAGGGAAAUAUAGUCUAUUGAAUCCAAAAGUCCACUCGUAUUAUUCUAAGCCACAAGUGUAUGAGUACACAACUAAAGUGUUAAUGUUUUUCCUGCUCCUGCAGAAGGGCAAGGUUCACCCAUGUAAUGUAUAUUGUCACUUCUAUCUGAUCCACUGGUUUCGAGACUAGCAGGAGAUAAUACAGUAGUGCACCAGUUUAUUCAGUAUCAAGUAUCCUGUACUGAUAAACACAAGGUGUGGUCGACUCCCAUUUGGAUCACUAUCUGGAAAGCAAGCUAUGACAGUGUUAUAUGUAAACCCUACAUAGAGUUCAAUAAUUCAUGCUGAUGGCAAAGAAAGGAGAAAAUGUAGGCAGCAAAGGGAGAAUUUGAUGAUCAAUGGAGUAUGGAUGCGAACAGGCCUCUAGCUGAGUUGGUUAGGUGGCUCUAGUAGCACUCCUCAGGUCUUGGGUCCAACUCCCCGUGGGAGCGAAUUUCAAGCUGGGGUUAGAGAAACUCCCCUAUCUGUCCCAACUCCCAAGCACCACGCCAAAGCACAGGUCUAAGGUUCGGCCCAGGUUGUGAUCAUGGUCGUUCUCACAUGGGUUAUGGUGCCGCUGCAUAUGGGUCGAGCAGGAGUUCGGGCCUUCUCUCAACCUGUGUGAAAAUGUCUUCUUAAAUGUCUGGGGGCUGGCUAGGAUGAUUCUAGAAGUAAUAUACUGGGGACUACCAGAACAAGGUUGAACUGCAAUACAUUUUUUCCGUUGUGAACCAUCAGCAACUCAAAAGAGCAUGUUCUUAACAUAUUCUGAAAGCAAAACCAAAGGAGCAUUUUCAAGUUUCAACACCAGGCAAUCAUCCAUAAGUAUCUCCCACUCUCCCAGUCACGAAGCAAAAGGACAAAUUAUACUAUGAUAUCAGAUCAGUAUUUAUAUAAACUGUAGCAAUUAAUAACAUUUAUAAAAGUAUAAUUCGAAAGUGAGGCAAUACCUCCAUACUCUGAAUCUGAGUACAAAUGCCACCUUUUCAGCUCAUCUUUUGAGUUGAAAUUGAAGAUAUAUCUUUCAGUUGGUGGAAUUAGAUCAUCUGAACUCCAUACAAGAGCUGCCAAUUAAGAAUAUAGGAAGAAAAAUUAAUAUAGACCAAGAUAGUUAAGGAGGUUAUGUAUUUUCCAGAAGAGAUUAUUCAGCACACUUAAAGGCAGAAUUUCCAUAAGUUCCUUGUUUACAGAUUAGCAAAACAUGCUAUUCCCUACAGAGACACCAUGAAUUCCACACACCACGUAUUUAUUUCAGAUCUGCAAUGCAUGAGUAGCAGCUACUAAGAUGCCUGAAGUCUACGACUGGUACAUAUGGAAUGAAACUGGCAUCAUAUUAUAUUAUAUUCUAUUCUAUUCAUAAAGAUAAUUCAUCAUGAUUAAUAUCUAGCUGACAAUCUGAUAUGCUUGCAAAUUUCAUAUCAUGUAUAAUACUCAACAUAUUUCAAUCUGUUACUAGGAACAUGAACAUUCUUAUUCUGCACCCUAGCCAUGCUGUACUCUUUGCUUUCCAUUCCUACAAAAGAAAGUUAAUUCCUCAAUGCUCGGGAUAAAGAUCCAUGACCUUGACUACAGAUUAUAUGGUUAUCAAUGAACGGCUCAACAGCACCAAAGAUUAUGCACGGCACAUAUACAUGCACCAUUACAUGUGUUACAUCGAGGAAAUGAACCAAACUUUGAUAGCGAGCAAGCAAAAAGGUUCUGACUUGAGGUAAGAAGCUACCUCUCUUUGUGGCGUUAAAGGAAGCCUGCCACAGAGCUCGCAGCCUCGACAUGGAGGUAACGGAGGCCAACUUCAGGAGCAGAUCUAGUAAAGAACAUUUUUAGAUAAUGGAUUCAUUAAUCUGGCCUCAUCUAGUAAAGAACAUGGGUGUCCCAAUAAUUUUUACAAAAAAAACUAAAAGUUAGUAGGCAUCAAAUAGCCAAAUAGCUUGAGGUAGUUUGGGGAACUUGGUUUUGCACAGCAUACAGGAAAGAGAAGGGAGUGGGAAUAUUUGGUGGGCACUCUUCUCUGGCGAAGAGAUCAGCGAAGGCUUCGGCGCCUGGUGUAGAGCAGCGGCAGUGGCGGUAGCCUAGAUAUAUGACACAUAUUCGAUCAUGCUUCCACAGAAGCAUAAUUCAAAUUUGUUUGACAUAGAAGUACCAGUUGUUCAACAUAUUAAAGACCGAAAUAUAGAGAGGAUAUGAAACGACAAAAUGGUUAAAAAAAACUUAUAAAUUACAGGCAGCUUUGCUCUAGGUAAUUCUCACUGGUUGUAGCUCUGCUCGUUCAAUGUCAUUCACAAGUUGACUCCAAUAAUGCAUUGAAAUGAGAAGCCAAUUGGGUGAUUGACCGAAUUAAUAACUUACAAAAUUCAAUUCAGUGGUGCUGGUGGACAGAACAGGUGGAGUGGUGGCUGGCUCUGCUGCAAUCACCAAUCUCCCGGUGCCUUGGCCUCUCGGUGCCGCCCAGCGCCCAGCCGGCUGUGGAGGCUCCAAUCGGCACUGGCUCACUGGCUCUGCUCCAAUCGGCGGAAUGGCAGACCGCCGGACACCCUUUGCUGAGCGCUCUGUACUCGACUGCCCGACCUGCACGCCAGCAGCGGCCGUCUCCACGCCCUGCCCCAGCGGCCGCCCGCAAUCCCCGCCCCAGCAAACAGCGACCAGCCGCCCGGUCACCGCCGCUGCGCCACCCCGCCGCCGCCGCUAGCGUUUCGGGAAUUUGGGAGAGUAGAAACGAGAGGAGGAAGACCGAACGACUCUGGGUCUCUGGGAGAAGCUGCUGGACCUGCUAAUGCCUAAUGGGCCUUGUUGGGCCAGGGAUAGGUAUAGCCUUAUAGGAGAAUGAAUGUUUGGGCUGAAUUCAGAAAUUUGCUGACAUUUUGACUAUCUUUUCAUAUACUUUCCCCUAAUUUUUGGUCCUUCACUUCAUCAUUUUGAUGAAGUGUCCAACUCUGACUAAUGUUCUCGUAUCCCAUUAAGGAGAUAUCAGCAAAAUAAAAGGAAGCGUGUAAAGGGGAUUAACAUGAGAAAAAACUAGUUCUUUGUUAAUAUUAUUCUGUUGUGUUUAUCAUGUCACCUCCCUUUCAUUUCCCUUAGCUCUUUUCUAACUUGUCCCAUUUUCGGAUAGAUGGCAUUCCUACCAACUCGUCUAGGAAGACAUCCAUAUACUCACGGAGCUCGAGCACAUCUUGCAAUGUAUUCUCUGUCGAAGCAUGAAGUCAUCUCUCUCUCUCUCUCUCUCUCUCUCUCUCUCUCUCUAAAUCAUACAUUCAAUGUGUAGCAUCAAUUUGCACAAAACCACCAGGGUGCUCUGGGUUAAUAGCUCGGGGAGAACAAGAGAUCAAAUCCUUGUGUUUGGUUAACCAAUCCAUCCCAAGAAUCACAUCUAUAUCACCAUCUAACUUCAGAAUUAUCAAAUCUGCCAUAAACAUCCAUCAUCUUAUCUUGAGUCUCACUGCCUUACAUGCUAAGGUGCAACUAAUAUCCCAAAUGGGUGAGCUAGAGAGAGAGAGGUUACUUGUUUAUUCAUACAUGCCAAAUGGAAGAGUUGCUUCUCAAUUUCUCAAUUGCGAGGUUUAUCACUCUUUUCGCUCCUAACUUCCAUGUGCUUUGUUGUAAGCUAGACCAACUUUUUAAAUUACACAAGUUCAAAAGGUGUAUUUUUUCACAAGAGGGGGUAAAUGUCUAUAAAACACUUAAUAAAAUGUCCACUAAGAAAAACUUGAGUGGUAAAAGGGCUAUCAAAGCUAGAUGAAAAAAUUGAAUAUGUAAUGUUUUAACACUUCCACAUAAUUGUUAAAAUAAGUUUCUUAUAUCUAACACUAAAUGAUUACCCUAUUUUUGGAUGCAUCAUGGUUGAUGUGAAACGUGUCAGCUUUCCAAUUUUUUGCUUAAAUGUUGACGCGUCAAGGAGAAAGAGGAUAGCACUAGGAACAACACGGGGUCUGCUCUACCUUCAUGAGCAAUGCGAUCCAAAAAGAAUCCAUCGAGGCAUAGGUGUAGUUGAGUUGAUCAUUGGUUAGAAGGUGUUGGAUUUUGUAAGAGUAGCUGAAUGUGCAUCUAGCCCUAACCCUUAAACCCUAAACUCAUCGUCCUUGGACAUUAUGUGUAUAUAUGGAAUGUUUGGUUUUAUGACUUAGGUGUCCCAAACUAAAUCAUGGUCAUGGACAAAUUAGGGCAAUGACAAAGUUAGACCUAAAAAUGAUGUUUGGUUUGUGAUGAAGCUGUCCUCGUCGACAGCAAGAUGCCUGUGAUGACUUCGUACUGAUCUGUUGGCUCAGACCUUCGGAGGUGCUCAUAGGGUAGGAUUUGCGUACAUAUGUUUAUAUGUAUGUGUGUGUUGUCAGUGUCUAUGUUGUAUUGUGUAAUUCUAAAAAAAUCGGCCAAUACCAAAAUCUGGAGUGAUCGAGAAUGUUUGGGAGUCAUGUUAAAUUUUGUUGUAUAGUUGUGAGUUUGAACAUGUAAGGAGCCUAUUCGCUUGAGCUUAUCUGCCGAAUAUGUGAGUCAUUUAGCAAUGUUUUUGUCUUAUAAUAAAUCAGCGAACAAUACUUUCAGUUAUGAUUUUUCUGCUAAGCGAACAUGCUCAGGUUUAUAUGUCAUUGUUUUAUUCUUCAAUGAAACAUGGCCAUGUGCGAUUUUGUUUUCCAGAUAAAAAUCACAAGGAAUGCUAUGAUAAAAAAAAUAGUUACAAAUAAGAUAUAUAGUUAGGCAGAUAUUAACAUUCGAAGCUUCAAUUAUCUAAAAGUUUUGAAGCAGCAGGCCAAAUUCAGCCGAGUGAAUUCUUGAGCAGGAGGUUGGCCAACUUUUGACCAUUGACGUUAUGACAAUUUUAUAUCGCUUAGAGAAGCUUGAGCCCCGGAACUAAAUAAGGGUCUUAUUUAGUUACGCCCGAAAUCUAUUUUUUUAGAGUUUUCAUUAUAUUAAAUCUUACAACAUAUGCAUGAAGUAUUAAAUAUAGAUAAAAAUAACUAAUUGUACAGUUUGUUUGUAAUUUACGAGAUAAAUCUUUUGAGCUUAGUUAGUCCAUAGUUGGACAAUAGUUACUAAAUACCAACAAAAAUGCUACAGUAUCUAAAAACUUUUUACCCGAAGAACUAAUCAAGGCCAAAGGAAUAGUUUUGUAAGAGAGGUAAGUUUUGGUUCUCUUUACUAGGUCUAAAACCAAAUACUCCCCCGUAGUAUAUGAAUAGCAGUCUAGCACAGCGUUCAGGCCUGGUUUAGUGGAGAAAAAUUUUGACUUUAACUAUUAAAACAGUUUUGUUUAUAUUUAACAAUUAUCAUCCAAUCACGCACUAACUAGGUUCAACUGUGUAAUUAGUUUUUUGUUUUGGUCUACAUUUAAUACUUCAUACAUACCUCAAAAAAUCGAUGUGAUAGAAAAUCUUAAAUUUUUUUUAAACUAAACAAUGCCUCAAGGCCUCGGUUCCAUCAACAAAGGCCUUGUUUAGAUGUGAAAUCUUUUUGGAUUUCGCUACUGUAGCACUUUCGUUUGUUUGUGGUAAAUAUUAUCCAAUUAUGGACUAGCUAGUAUCAAAAGAUUCGUCUUGUGAUUUACAGAUAAACUGUGCAAUUAGUUUUAAAUUUCGUCUAAAUUUAAUGCUUCAUGCAUGUGCCGCAAGAUUCGAUGUGACAGAGAAUUUUGAAAACUUUUUGAUUUUUGGGGUGAACUAAACAAGGCCAAAAUAAAUGUAGUAGCACAGCACGGGCUGUCCGUCUCUGUAGAUGGAGCGAGAGGGAAUGAUAUGAUGCGGCCCGCGUGCCAGUCGUCGGUGCAGCAGCGCUGUUGCAGCUUGCAACAGCAAAGCAAGCUGGCAGCUGCAGGUAGUAGUGAUCAAAGUGCAGUAGGAGUAAGAGACUAGAGAGUGUAGUGUGUCCACGGCGAGUUGUUAAAAAAAGCGUGAUGGCGAUGGAACCGGUCGAUGGCGAGUGUUGGCUACUGCUGGUUGCCGGAUGCUUCUCCAUGGGGCCGGCCAUGCAUGCAUGGCGUCGUCGUCGCACUCGCUCGCUCACCAACUGUUUGGUCGAUGCGUCUCCUCGCAUGCAUACAUGAUACAUGCAUGCAUGCAAAAAGGCAGGAACGAAAGCUCCCAUCUCUUCGCGAGCCUUUUUAAUUUCUCUCCCUUGUCGUGAUGAUCCGGGAGGGAUACCUCUCGCUUGCAAUGCUCCAAGCGGAUAGCCGGAGACAGUUUUGGGAGGACUGGACCGGGCAAUGCAAAUUGAGCAGCGGAUCUUCAGCGAUCCCGAUAAUGGCAGACGACCAAAAAGGUCCACCGUGUUUGAGAGGUAAAGGGCGCGCGCCUUUGUCUUGCCUUGCCUUGGGAAGGAACCUGUUGUGUUGUCGCGUGCUGACUGGCUAGUAGUACGUGCGAGAGACGUCCGUCGGAUAUGACAAUGUCCUGCGCGUCCUGCCUGCGUGCACCGCCUCACAUGGCAUUCCCCGGGUCGCGGCAUGGCAUGACAUGGCAUCAUCCGGACACGGACCGGGUCGUGGCAUGGCAUGGCAUGGCAUGACGACGGGAGUGCCGUGUGCGGCAGCGGCUGGAGGCGGUCAAGCAAGCAGGCGCACAUGCAUUGAUGGAUGCCCUUGUCGUGGACUCCCCAUCCGGCCCCUUGGCAUCGCCGCACGCCGCACGGAGACACGGACGCGGACGGGGGGGGCGCCGGACCACGGCGUGCCGCGGGUGGACAAGGCCGACAGGCAAGCGAACAAACAGGGACGGGGACGUGUGCACCGACGCGAUCGACGCCCGCCGGCAGGCAGCGCGAGGCGACGGACGGACGGGGGCUCACCACCGGGCCGGCUCCACUCAUUGCGCCUUUGUCCGCCGCCCACGUCAAAUCGAGUCGCCCUUCCUCCUCCUCUUCUUCUCGUCGUCGCCUUCCUCCUCCCCGUUGCGCUGCUCCCGUCGCAUCAUUGCCGAUUAUUACAGCGCCACCACCACACGCCAUUCUUCUUCGGACACGGACACGGACACGGCGCGCCCACUCCAUUCCUGCAUGCCUUGCCCCCCUCCACUCUCUCUCUCUCUGUCUCUCCGGCUCUCCCUCGCAGCCCUCUCUGCCUGCCUACUGCCGUUAUCUAUCUCCUCGCCCGCCCGUGUCAGCGCAGCGCACCGCGCGUCGUGUCAGCUGUCUGUCACCGGCCGCGGCCGUGUCUGUCGUCCACGCUCUUGCCAGGCCGGGCUGGCGGCCGGUGGCUGACCAGGCGAGCGAAUAGAUAUGAGCGCCGCCAGGUGCCUCAAGCUCGCGCUGCUCCUGUCGCUCAUCCCGCUGGCGCUCAGGGCGACGUCGCUCCUCCUCAGCGGCCACGCCGUGCCGGCAACAGCGGCAUCGUCUCGCCACUCCUGGACCGCGCGGCGGCACUGGCGGAGCAGCAGAGCCACCGCCACCGUCGUCUCGGCCGUGCCACCGGCGCGCGACCGGGGCCGGCCGUAUCGCCGCCACGCGACGCACCGGCGGCGGACCGGGUCCGCCGCCUCCUCCGACGGCGGCACGAGGCGGCUCCGGCAGGCCGCCGCCGCCGCCGGUGGCCGCGACAGCUGGUUCGAGGACGACAAGAGGCUGGCGCCCACGGGGUCCAACCCGCUCCACAACCUGCGAUGACGGCGGGCGGGCGGACGGACGGCCGCCGCCGGCGCCCGCGCUGGUGGCUGCCUGGCUGCUGCCGUCGCUUCGUUCUCGGCUCGUGAUCGAAUCUUUUCAGGUCGGCACGCAAAAAUGGCGACGACAAUUUGCUCCCGGUAAAUCUCGGUCCGUGAUUUCUUGAUACCAUCAUCAGCUACCGUGGUGGUACACGUACGUACGUGCUACAUACAGCGCUUGCUUGCUUCGAGUUUGUCAAUGUACAUACGAUUUGAAUACUUGAAUUGAAUUGGUGUGACUGCGAAGAAAUACGAGUUUUUGUCAAUGCAUGUUUGCUGUUUGCCUGCAUUUCCUUCAAAUAACCAGUACGUAUGCUUCAACCGUUGCGUGUAUCUAAGCACACGAUGGAAAUUGUAAAAUCCUCAUGGAUUAAAAUGUUAACAGCAGCUCAGCAGUCAGCACUACCUGAACACUGGAGCUAUAAUUUUAGAGGGCGUAAUUUCGCACGAAGACAUUAGAACUGGUCACCUCUAAAUUUAGUUUAUCUGAAAAGCCAUGACUAAAAGAAUUGUCCGCUGAUUUGUUAAUUAUGACAGAAAAACACUACUAAAUAGCUGACGCUGACGUAGAUAAACUCAAGUGAACAUAACCCUAAUCUGCUAGAAAGAAAGAAUAGUUUCAGACACUCACUUGAGGCCAUAAUUAACCAACUCGAGUGCUUAGACGUACAGUACUGUACAUGCUACAAUCACAGGCUGGGAAGCUACACAGCAGACUUGACUAUUCAGAGUUUACUCCGGCACAGUCGCACAGAGGAGUCCACAGGACCAGACGCGGACAGUACAACAGACGCCCUUUGGUGCUCCAUGCAUUCCACUUCCACAGUUUUCUUUUUCUCCCCCACAAAAAACAAAAGAAUAAUAAGAACAGAAACAGAGGAGACCUUUACUGUAGGCUGUAGUUAUAGUAGUACCAGUCUACCAGUGAAGAAAUUAGACAAGGAUCUUUCAAAAAAAAAAAAAAACGAUACUCCUACUUCAAAAAGAAAUUAGACAAGGAGUACAGGCGAGAUUCUGCAAAAUUUUAGCAGCCUCUCCUGCAAUGAUGGUGUCGCCGAAUCAUCCCGGCACGGCACGCCGAAAACCAACUGAUGUGAAGGCACAGACGGACGGAAUCCCUAAUCGCUGCAACUAGAGACAAGAGCCGCAGUACAACACUGACCACAGAUCUAAUAAUCCGACUUUGAAUUAGGGAAGCAAUUUUUUUUAAUCUCCCUCGAGAGCAAGAGUGCAAGACAGAUCAUAAAAACUAACCGUCGUCGUUAUUAUCUGAUUGUGCAGUAGUAGUAGUAGUACAUGCUAACACGAAAAGGUAGUAAAAGUGAGCGGGACAAUAAGCAAGACACUGUCAACCGUUGACAUGAUGAUCACAGAGCAGCAGACAAAUUAAGCAAACCCCCCUGAAGCCCUGAUCAUCAGAACACUACUAAAAUUAAACUAAAGCGAUAGAUAUGACGCGAGACAACACAGCAGGGCAUAGUACUAGUACGUGAUCAUGCAGCCGUGAGGUAGCAGUAGGCUCAGUCUCAGUGGCCGGGCGGCUCGUCGUCGUCGCCGGCGACGACGGUGAUCUUGCCCUGGUCGAGCAGGCUGUAGAACUCGCGGGUGCGGCGCUGGUUGCUCCAGUGGUGGAGCUUCCACAGGUACCCCGCAAAGAGGCCCAGGCUCAUGCCGUACACGAUCUCCCUCAGCACGCUCGGCGGCCGCCGCCGCCUUCCCCUGGCCGUCGCGGCGGCGGCGUGCGUCGCCACCUUGUGCGCCGUCGUCGACAUGGCUGGCUGCUCUGCUUUUGCUCUUGGUGCGGGCCGAGACGCACGGCACGGAUGGUGAGAGUGACACGAGCUGACGCGAUCGAGGUGCACUUGCAUUUGGGAUUUGAGUGGCGAGAAGCUAGCAGGCAGCAGCGCGCCGUGUCAGCUGAGAAAGCAAGCACGUGUGGCGGAGCUGCGAGACGCGUGUAGGCUCGGCUCCACGUGGCAGGCAUGACGCCGCUGACCAUGCACGUGACAAGGCCUUGCCUAUCGGUCGGUGCGUUCUGCUUGUACUGGGUUUCAGGUGCUCGAUCUGUAACCUCUCUGCAUCCAUGCAUGAUUCGAUUUUUGCCCAAGGACUCCAUCCGUUCCCCUAAAAAAAAAGUUCUGACGUCUCGCUCUUCAAGCAAUCAAUUUUUUAAAGUUUUAUUAUUGCUAAAUUAUAAAAUAAAAUAAUAUAUAUUAUAAAAUACCUAUUAAUAUUAGUAUAUUAUAAGAGUAAGAUAUAAUAAAAUAAAAUUGGACUUCUCGAAGAGAAGAAGGAUACGUGUUUUUUUAUUUCUUUUUUACGUUCUACAAUUCUACCUUCGACUGUCCAACUCCAACGUGCGCGGGGCUCGACGACCUGAAAUCGAAAUGUCGCCGAUCAGUCAUCUUGCACCGUUGGCGUGUCGACACGAUCUGACUUGCAGUCCAUAUAUUCUGUGCUGGAGAGGGUCCAGAGGUUCUCGUCAGCCAUGGAGCGUGCAGUUGCAUGAUUGCGUCUGGUCCGGGCCUCUGAACUGACGCUGCAGUGAGCACGGCCAAACCUGAACAGUCACCACCACCACCGUAGACAUACGGUUGAAUCGCAGCUGGACAGAAAAGACUUCAGCGUCGGUGCCUCCGGUAGUGUCCCGUCCCGCCCUGUCCAGUUUGGGUUUUGGAGUUCAGAGCUGUGGCAAAUGUAACAAAUCGAAGAAAUGGACAUGGGAAUUUGCGAGAAAAUUUUAAUCGUGAACACAAAAUUACAACAGUUAUCAGAGUUUUCUGAGGCUUGUUGACACGUCCUCCUAUCUUUACUGGAACAAAUGGAGGCAAAGGAUGCUAGCCAUGAAACUCAGCUUACGAAAGUCAACUGCCUAAAUCCGUAACAUCACAAAAUAAAUCCAUCGAGAACUGUACGAGUCUAGGAGAUGAUAAAGAAUACUACUUGUCCAUGAGUUUUUUUUUUUCAAGAUCGCGACUUCACGCGUUUUUCAUUAAGAAGAAGAGCCGAAGGAACGACAAAGUAACCGAUACAAAGGAUUCACAAAUAAUCCAUAGAUUACCAACGAAGUCCCUAACACAAACGAAAAGCAAGAACAGAGAGGGAGGGGUCCCUCCACUUGACAACCCCAGCUAACUGAACAUAAUAAAAAAGGAACUCAACACUUUGGAAGCCAGCAGUGAAGUAAAGUCGUAGAAGACGAUAGCGGCAAUAGAUGCAGGCAAAUCAUAGCUGGUAAAUGGGAUCUAGAAUUCCAAAUAGGACAGACAUGCAUGUGAUCAAGUAAUACUAAAAAUCCUUUAUUAUUCUCAACAUUAUCUUAUUUUUAGCUAUCCACAACAAACUGCUGCCUUAAACAAUAUUUGGUGACCUGACAGAUGAGAUCCAAUCUGUGCUUGACAUAGACCACAUACAGUGGCCUGCAUUUAUGUCCCAUACGCUCGUGAUAGUGCAAUCGUAGUGAAGGUGGUGCUCCAGCCUUCCAGGUAGCAGAUUUGUGUCUUGGGAGCUUUAAAAUCUGUGGAAGACAACUGUUAGGUGGUGUUAAAAAAAUUAUUUACAGUGUCAAUAUGGAUUUGAGCCCUAUAGAGCACAAUGCACAAACUUAGAAAAUAAACGAAAUUUGUUUCACCUUAAUUUUAGGUGAAAUGCAUUUUUUAUGAAUUUCACAAUUUUCAUCAUUAUCCAAAGUUAUAUGUGGCAAAAGUACUUUUGUUGGUGAAUUCCUAUGCCACUCCCAAUCCAAACCCAUGGACCAAUGCAAACUCUGCACACAAAAUGCAGAUGCCUAAAGCUGUAACUUUACAAACAAAUUGCAAUUUUCAACUAUACAUAUAUUAUCUAAACCAUCCAAACAAUGCUAUAAUUAGGGCAUGUGCAGCCUGAAGCCCUGAACUUUAGCUCCAAAGUCAUUCCAUAUCAGAAGAGAAAACAUAUUAAACAGUAACCUUUUUCUUCUAUCCCUUUUAACCUUUACAAGCCCGUCAGUUCUCCUCCAGCCUCCAGUAUCUAAUUAUAUGGUCAGCUAUCAGGGGAACACACAUUCUUUACUUUGAUGACUCUCCUGACCAGCAUCAUAAAAGUUUCAGCAGAGGGGACAAGCCUCUCAUUCUCUGCCACCAUCAUAUCAUACAACCAAAGUGCCCUCUUAGCAUUGCGCUUCUCACAGUAACCGCUGAUAAGCAUAUCAUACAAGUCGCUAGUCGGGGCCACUGUUUUCUUCUUCAUCAUGAUAAAAAACUUUUCAGCUUCCUUCAAAUUUCCACACUGGCAAAGGCCCUUGAUCAAGGUCGUAAAAACCUCAACACCAGGAUCAAGCCCUCUGUGCUCCAUCUCAUGGUAGAGGUUGACAAUACCUUGGUUAUUGCCAACCUUGCCAUAUCCAUUAAUAAGGCUCAAGUAUGUAUCCUGAUCAGGAAGAAGUCCUUUGUCCAUCAUUGCCGUCAGCACAUUGUUUGCCCUGUGAACCUCUCCUGCAUUGCAGAGUCCCUCUAACAUCUCAUUGCAGCUGCCAAUGUCCAGCACAAAACCUUCCUCAUGCAUGUUGUCAAAAUAGGCCAGGCCUUCCUUUAUCAUCCCUUGUCUGAAACAACCAGCAAUGAGAUGAUUGUACGUAGCAUCAUACGGUUUUGCUCCCAUGGAUAACAUUUCUUGGUGCAACUGAGCAGCCUUGUCCAUACACCCUUCGCAGCAAUGCACUCUGAUGAGGCAAGUGUACACGAAUGCAUUCAGACGACGACCACGACGAACCAUGUCAUCGCAUUGCUCGAGUGCUGACAUGAGAUCACCAAUGCGGCAGUAGGCAUGCACCAUCAGUGAGUGAGCAAUGUCGUCGAGGAGAAUGUUCCUCUGCAGCAUCCUCUUCAGCAGCAAUAUCACCUGCUCCACCCUCUCUUCCUCGAUCAUCCUCAACGUGAGUGCGACGUGCGCCACAAUGCCAGGCGCACACUUCUUACCAUGGAUCCUCUCCACGAGCGCCGCGGUCCUGGCGAGCUUGCCUUCCCGGCUCAGGACGCCAAUGACAAGCUCGACGGUGCUCUUGUUGGCAUACAGUCGCUUCAGCGUCAUAAGCUCGAACACUUCCCAUGCGACACCGAACGACCCAGCGCGCUGCGCCGCGUGCAGCGCGGCGUUGAAGGCGGAGAGUGAGGGCAGCACGCCGCGCCGCGCGAGGUAGCGACAGGCCUCGAGGGCCUCCGCCGGGAGGCGCAGCCGCGCGUAGGCAUGAACCAGGAGGUGUAAGCCGCGGGUCGUGGCGGCCGUGCCGCUGUCCUCGUAGGCGGCGAAGAAGGUGUCGAUGAAGCACGAGGCGGGGGCCGAAGACGACGAGUGCCUGGAGAUGGCUGACUCGAGGAGGACGGAGGCGUUGCGGAAGAGCGCGGCGCGGGAGAGGAGGUGGACGAGGAGGCAGUAGGACCGGAGCGAGUGCGAGGAAGAGGAGGCUGCGGCGGCGGACCAGUGGAAGAAGGUGAGGGCAUUCUUGGCGACGGGCUCGGGGGAGGCGUGGGGGUGCCUGGCGAGGGAGAGGAGAACGGCAUCGACGUGGCCGUGGGACACCGCGCCGGCAGGGAAGGCGGCGGAGAGCGCCUCCCAUGUCGCCCGCGGCUGGUGCGCCAGGUAGUGGGAGAUGUGUUGAGGCGUCGCAUGUGUGGCGGCCGUGAACAGCGCUGAAGCGGGCGUGCGACCGUGCAGACCGCCGCCGCGCCGCGCGACGGCGUUCACGGCCAUGGAAAUAGCGUUGCAAGCUGCGCGAGCUCACGUUGCGGCAACCUCGCUGCACCUAAGCAUGGUUGCGGUAGUUCAGAAAUGGCAACGUUGCGGAAGUGCGCGUUUGUCUCGUUCAGAUUGGUGAGAGAUUUUGAUAUUUGACUGGCCUUGAUCUGAUUUCUCUGUUUAGAGAUAUUUUGAUAUUUGACAUUCAAUUGGCGAGCCUUUCAAAAUUUGACAAUAACCAACACUAUCACGCUAGCCAUCUUUGCUUGUUCCCAUCUAUUUUUUUUGCUGAUUAUAUUGCUAUAUAUGCAGUCAAAAUAUUUGAAAGAUGCAGGUUGCGAGUUCUUUGCACUGGCAAUAUGGAAAUUCAGUCUCGCUCUAGAUAUGAGUAGUGAUAGGCUCCAACAACAAUACUUCGUUUGAAAAAAAAAGAGUUCGUUCAUUAUAUGACACUACCCAUUAAUCAGCAGAUCAUUCUGUCAAACUGCACUCUGAACUUCUGUGCUAGCCUGUUCGCUAGUCUGAAACCCAUAAUUUAUCGUCAAAAAAAAAAUAUUUGUUAGCAGAAAAGGUACGGCUUAUAAUAAGUUUUUUGGCCCUGAAAAACAGACUCUUGACUUUUGUGCUAUAUAUUUGUCUGUGAAAAACAAACUCUUGACUGCUGUAGUGCACUAGUGCUCCAAGUUUUGUGCAAACAUUCAGUUUUGUCCAAUAGAAAGGAACACCCGUGAGGUAGUCAUCUAUUUGAGCCCCAAGGAUCGUGUCAGUCCGAUCAGACAGCGGGCGGUUGAGCAACUGCACACGAUUUGCAAAUCCUCCAAUCGCAAAUUCAGCAUCUCAAGCGAGUAGAUUUUUUUUAAAAAAAAAAACUCAGAGCCGUAUAUUUCUUUAACUGAUUUUACAAGCAAAAUUAUUCGAAGAUUACAUCAGGCCUAGGACAUAUCUUCAGAUGACAGUGCCAAGUCAUGUUCUGUCCAGUCCUAGCUGAGUGAAUUUCAAGCACAAGAUUCCGUAUCUUCAGAUUUUAUUAUUUUCUAUGUAGCAAGAUCCACCUGAUCAGUGCAUGUCAAGUACACUUAUUUAAUCUGGCUACCACACAUAUACGUAUUGUUCUUUUGGAGUGAAGCUUGUAAACAGCAGUGUUCAUCGGGCUGACUGCCCCUACAUGUGCUCCUUCACAACCGUCACAGGGCAUGCCGCGUAGUUCACAAUAUAGGUGCUCACGCUCCCCAUCAGAGCCCUGCGUUCAGGCAACAACAACAGCUGUUGGUAAGGAGAGAGAUACCACGCUAGGGCAAAGGUUAAACUUGAACACAAUCUUGAGUGCAGGGAGGUUCAAGAUCAUAAAGUUCAGAAAUUACAAACUUUGCAUGUUUUACCUCUUGAGCGUGCUUAGUCCUCUGCUCCCGAUAACCAUGCAGCUAAGGGAAACCAGGUCAACUGCUUCAUAGAGCUUCUUUGCCGGGUCACCGUAGAAUAUCUUUGCAAAGACUUCAAUCUGCGGUUAUGUAGUUUCAAAAGCUAAGCAAUCAGCUCACGCCAAUAGUAACUCCCAGAAAGAAUUGAGUACUGAAAAGCGGUGAAUUGAACGAGCCAAAACCCAUACCCCUCUUUGAUUUGCCACUUGAGUGAGGAUCUCAAUUGUCUCCUUGUCCGGUGAUACACCAUAUGUCCUGGUGACAUCUGAGAACUCGGCCAGAGGGAUGAGUGCUACAACACAAAAGAAUGUACAGCUAGGAUAAACUCAUACUGCCAACGGCAACAGGUAAAUAUUCAAGUCCUGACUUUGUGAGCCACAUCAAAUCAACUUGAAACGAAGCAGAGAAGAAGAGGCAUCAGUACUCACGGGAACCACUCUGCUCCCAGAGAUGAACAGCGCCCUGCUCAUUCUGAUAGGAAUUGUUCACAUGGAUUAGUAUGAGCUUAUCACCGUUCCUGGCAAGGUUUGUUGAUGCCCAUCGCAGAGCUGCUUUGCUGCAUGACGAGAAGUCCACUGCGACUCCAAUGUUCCUCCCAGCCAUUUCCCUCACAACUAAUUAGGAGCAGCUAACAGCCUACAAAUUUCCAAACCAGUAUGCCUGACAAUAAGGCAAUGAAGUUUCAGAUAUGGUAUUCACUGCUGCUGGCCAGGUCCUUAUAUAAACAGAUAACUGCAACUUGGAAAUACCAGACAAAACGAGAGAGACAGAGAGAGAAAUACUGACGUUACCUUUCUUUACUUUUCCCAAAAUUCCUUUCCCAUUUCAAAUGAAUGAUCUUUAUGCCUUGGUUUCCUUUACGCGAUUCCUUAUCAUCACUUUAGCUGCCUAGAAAACAUGUUAGAAUGCUGACUUCCGUGAAUGAAUGAAACUGAAAACAGUGAGCAAAGUAAAGAUUCACGAUGCAAAGCAACAAAGUGACAACGAGAAUGUUAUUCCAGUUUUUCCAUACAAUUAUCACUGCAAUUACAGAUUCUAGCAAAUCGAUUCACUGAAGAAAUAUCACCUGCAAGGAGAGUACCGGAGUAGUGAUCAAUAGUGUAACUCUGAUGUAAUACUGAUCAUGAUUCAUGACCAAAAGAGGAAGCAUCUCAAAAGCCAUUUAAAAAGGAAUAAACUAUAAUGAGUUGCAGCCAAUUCUGAUGAAAUGAGAGCUAAGGACUACAAUUGAUUAUUAUUUCAAUAAUUCUGUUUCAAGUGACUGAUUAAUAGCAACACGCUAGUAGCAGGAAGAAAACUAACGGAUGGCACCAUGCCUUGUUCAUUAUAAUCACGUCCUUGUUUACAGAAGCUAAACUUAGAGAAGCAACAUUUGGGACAUACACCAAUGUGCUAGAUGACAAGAAAUAGGUGUUCCAAGUAGAACUGCAUUGCGCAAUAAGAAAUAGUACCAGUCACCAUCACCAGGUUCCAUACUUGAUGCUUCCAUUAUAUUCUUGCACAAUACUUUCGCAAAAUCAUUGGACAUCACCAGUUUUUUUUUUUAAAAAAAAACAAUACAGGUCACCUACUGAAAAGUCAAUUCUCUAAGUACCUACUGGUCAUUUAGAAAUGAUUCAAAAUAUAUGCUAUUCAGCACCAGAUGGUUAACUUGCUCUUCAGAACUAAAAUACAUUCUACACUGGCUCUUUCCACUUGAAUGACACACGGUACAUCCACCAGCUCCCCAGCAUUCCAAUGAGAUGUAGCACCCUCCCGUCUGCUAAUUCAAUGGUUCCAAUUGAAAAAAACUUGUAAUCUUCAGUAUUAACAUUUCUUGUACGCAUGUACUGCAGAAAAAUACAAAAUGUUUAGUUCAAAUAGCUAAGCACAUAAAGGAGCAUACUAAGACAGGAAAGAAAAUAGAAAUUUGAAUAUUGAUGUAGAUGUGUGUCACUCUAUUGGUAUAAUAGAUAAUUGCUUCAAUAAAAUCCAUAUUUGCAAUUAUUAAGUCAUAAUUCAAACAAAUAUCCAAUAAAAUGGACUCGCUAAAAUGUAAGCAGAACUCAACCAAAUACUACCUCUAACUAAUAAAAGAUUUAACUUUGAAUUCUCCUUUUUCAAGUGUGCUGCAGUGGAACGCAUGGAAAGAACUGCAAGCAUACCGUUCAAUGGGGAAAAAAGGCACAUGAGCCUUAGUCUAAUGGUUUAACUACUGCGUCUGUGUUCGUUGAUAUAUCAUUUGCCACGGUGUAGUUGCACUAAAACAUUAUGUCAGCUUAUCAAAUCAUCACUAUAUCGCUAUACAGGAAAAUGAUCUCAAAUCUCGGGGGAAAUCAUUCAACAUCUCUAAUCCUGAAGCAGCCGUGACAGUUCAUGUUCAAGUGAAAAAAAGAAAGAAAAGAAAAGGUACACAGAGGUAGCAUAAAGAAUCUCCCAGACAUUAUAACUUUGUGAUUCUUCAUGAGAGACAGAGUUCUUGGAGCUUUUAUACUUAUGCCUAAAAUACAGUAAGGAACUACCUUAAAUACUUACAGAGGUGUGGCAAAAGGACCCAAAACUUUGUCCGGGGGGAAAAAAGAGCACCCAAAACACAAAUUUUGAUGAGAGUAAAACACUGAAUGACUGAAUCCCCAAAAGGCCCAAACUUUGUUUAUACAAGUUUAGCAUACCAUUAAUUGGGAUACUAAGAAAUAAUAUAAAACAUUUGCCGUAAAAAAAAGAAAUAAUCUAAAACAGACCCAAAGCUGUCAGGACUCAGGAAUGUGAUCAUUUUUAAUCCUUUGUAUAAGUUUUUUUUGCAUACGUCAGAAGCUUGGAAUCCUAGCGGUAGGAUCGCCCCUCAAAACCAUUUCUCUAAAGGUCAUAGGAUAGGAGCACAUCCAUACGGAUCGUGACCUUGACAAACUGAUAUGGUGAUUUUAUUAAUUGGUUUGAAACAAAAAAAAAUGUCAGCCUUCUUUGAUCCUUGGGGCUGAUGGGACGUUUCAGGAUUAUGUGAACUGUAAAAAAGGGUUAUGAGAGUGAAAGUUACUACCAUAUUGAAAGCAUUUCAGAAUCUGAAUCAGAUGAUACUGACGUAGAACUACUGUAGAUCCGAUUUAAAUUGCAAGCAUCCACUACACCCCUAAUAAGACCUAAAAGAGAAAUAAAAAAUAUACACAAAACUCACCUCCUCCUUGGACACAGCAUGGUUUUGACCCAUCUCCCUAUGUCGAAGCUGAAAUAAUUAAUGGCAUAUUAGUUAGAAAGAAAAAAAAAAGACAGACUGCCCUCCUUUGAGUCAACUCUUGCAUGGCAUGAUGAAAUAUGAAACAUCAUACCAUGUUGAGAAACACAAAACAGUACUUGCAUACAUAUUUACUCAUAUAAAAAUAUAAAAUAAUAAAAUAAUAUACACAUUUUACUAACCUCCUGAAGAAACAAAUAUAUUGAAUAGUGGCUAGGUCUCGAGCAGUAGAUGAGAAGCAAAAUAUUUAGGGCAAGACCUAACGGGCUGUGCAACCCAGAAAUAAUCAGAAAAAUCAAUCCAACUGGCAGCUGAAGUUUCCUGACCAAAGGCCAAAAUGAAGGCCCACGCUCGGUUUUCAAAGAUCCCGUGGUUGGUCCAGCUAUGGCUUUUGAUGGUUGCUCUGCGAAACCAAAUUAGAAAAAUAAACACCAUUCAUUAGGGACAACCAGAAAAAAAAACUAAAAUCAAUAUUCAACAGAAAAAAGGCUCUACAGGUGUGAAUGGAAACUAGUUAUAAGCAGGUAGCUAGGGAUAAGUCUGUACAAUAGAAAUAAACCAGAUUAGAGGACCAGUCAACAUGAAUAAACUGAUUUUAAGAGUUAGUGCUUGAAGUCCUUGACUGAUUAAACUGGACCAGUCCAUAAGCCCAGUUAUUUUCCCAAACAUUGCAAAGUUUAAGCAACAAGUAGUCUUUGACUAUGUUUAAGAAACCAGUUAUUUUCCCAAAUGUUGUGGAUUUUGAAUUUUGCAUAACAUUUAGGCGCUAGCACUUCGAUCAUGUGUUAGAAAAAUGUUGUUGCUAUGAGUCCAUGAGCCUUUGUAUGCCAUUGACCACUCAUUGGGACCAUCUUAUGUGUUUUCUGUGGGGUGGUGAAAAGAGAACCCGUACUUCAAAUUAUUUUCAACGUGUCUAGAGGGAGAAUUUCACCUUUUGUGGCAGCAGUAACCUGUCCCUGAUGAAGCGUCAUCGCUAGCAUGGUGCUUGUUCCAAAUCCUUUUAUCAGAUUGAGACCUAAUGGAAAAUAAAGCACAAAAUCAAAAUCAUUAAGAGUUAGCCCAUGGAACUGACACUCUAGAAGUCUUGAAGGGUCUUGACAAAAUAAUACUACUGGAAAACAAGCAUAUACUGAAUCGGUAAAGUAAUUUGCUGAAUGCACAAGUAAACCACAUAAUUUUCCGCCGAUUCAUGAUCGAUAAUAAACGGCAUACUACUAAUGUCGAGUGAGUGAGACAAACAUGGCGCACGAUCGUAGGGGACUAGGGGUCACCUACUCCACUCACCUGACAACUGCGGCCGGAGACCAAGGGCUACUCUCGCGGUGAGCGAAGGCCCGAACUCGGCAGCGCGAGGCUGGAAAGCGGGGCUCGAACAGCGCGCGAGGAACUGGCGAAUAGGGCUGGCGGCGACUGGUGCGCGGGAGGAGCAGGACGCAGCGGCGGCGGCGGCGGCGGAAAAGGCGCGCGUGGAGGCGGUGGGCGCGGUGGCGGAGCCCCGUCGCAGCGAGGCCGCGACGGCCUCCCUCGCCAGCCGCCGACACGCCAUCAUCGUGCGUGGCCUCUCUCCCGUAGCUUGUUGCCGUGUCUCGUCCUCUCGUGCGCGGAGCGGAAGGGGAAGUAGAGCGGCUUCGCUUCGGGGAGUCGGAACGGACGCGGAGGCGGAGGCCAAGAGGUUGUUGGGCCGCGUUGGGCUUAGCCGACUCCGUCUCGUUCUCGCUCGUCGAGAGAGAGAGAUUAGGGCCCGGUGGACCGAACCGUCCUUAGUUAGUUCUCGGACUUUAUGGGCCCAUUUGUAGACUUGCCUCGGCCGCCGCCGCCGCCGGCCGUGUCGAUUCAUCUGCUGGCUGCGGCGAGUCCCUCGUAUCUCACCGCCGACGCCGACGCCGACGCCGUCGCCGUCCUCUCCCCUAUCGCCUCGCGCGCUCCCCGCCGCCCCUUCGGCCUCCAUCUGCUGCCUCGCGGCGUUGCCUCCCGAUGGCGUUCCGAGGCCGUGGAAGAGGGGGCCGCGGGAGAGGUGGGGGCUUCGGGUACGACCACCCGGCCAAGCACACGCCGCACGAGGACUUCCCGGUCAGUCUCCGCUCCACAACCACCCCCCCCCCCCCCCCCACCACACACACACCCGCCCACCCUCCGCUCCGACCUUGCAUUGUGUGGUGCGGUAGAAGUAGAACUGAUGUGCUGCGUGCUUGCAAAAUGAACACUUGAACAGGACAUCACCCUGCCAGAGAUGACGUGCGCCAAGGCGAGCAAAGAGGAGAAGGCGCUGAUUGUGUCCACCUUGAAACUCGAGGAGUUCUGGAAGAGUUCUUGCUACUACCUGGAGGAGGAUGCUCCCAAGAAAAGUACUGGGUCUGAACCUAUCACGGUUUUUCUUUUUGUUCAUUUUAUUACUGAUUCUUCGUAAUGGUAAUGCUCCUUAUCUUGGGUUCUGCUGCUUGAUUGCUCGGAAGUCAAGAUUUGCUUUAAACCUGUUGGGUAGGCAGUCGACCCUGUAAAUUUGGAGGCAGAAACUUA